This 68067-nucleotide long non-coding RNA is filed under the name Capsicum annuum. RNAcentral describes it as "long non-coding RNA (CANN_LNC013842)". Lineage: Eukaryota; Viridiplantae; Streptophyta; Magnoliopsida; Solanales; Solanaceae. The record is from RNAcentral.
UCCCUUUCUCCUCUUCACUCGUCAAAAAUGUACGCACAAAAACCACUAAGCAAACCCUAUGCUUAUUCCAUCCCAAUUUCCUUUUCACUCUCUCACGAUUUCUAGCCCGAACCAGCUAUUUGAGGGUAAUUGAAAGUUGUUCUGGAUAAAUCCAAAGUUGUACGAAUGAAAAUGGUAUAUUUUCACUCCAUUUUGAUUUUCGAUCUUCCCUUUUCUUUUCGUACAAUUCUAGUUAUUAAUCUUAUCCUCUCAUUUUUGAAAUUUACACUAUACCACAGCAAAAAUCCUUGAAGGAUCUGGAGAUUUUAGGUCCUAUAUAUACCCUCUCCGCUCCACUGUUUAACUCACAAUUUUUUUAACCUCAGAAGGGCUGGAAUUCUCUUUACUCGACUAGGAUUUUGGGAUUCUGUUUCCAAUCUGAGAGUUGUGAGAAUUUUGGCUCAGUUUCCAAUCAUCAUUGCUAUUCUCGAGUCAAGAAGAGUGGUGGAAUUAUGAUAGUCAACUCGUCGUCCCAAGUUCGUUUCUUGAAAAGAGUUAAUAUCAUUUUCUUUUUGUGUUUCUACUAUAUAUGUGCUAGUUGUUUAAGUCUUUGUAAUCCGAAUAGCAUUUUCAAGUUGUUUAUCCUGUUUCAACUAUGAAAUUCCUCUUGGUGUGAUUUCUCGUUCUUUUGUCUUUUUUUUCCGUUUAACGUUGUUAAUUUAAUCAAGUAUAGAAAAUCAUGUAGUUAUGUAUUUUCCUGUCGAUUUCAAAAAUUAAUGUAGUCGUGUAGCUCCUGAUCUCAUCUACAAUUUAGUAAAUUAACUUCCCUUUCAUUGUUUACUUUAUGUGUCUAUCUCCUACUUUUAUUUUUAAUAUCUGUCCAGUUCUAUUCUUUCCAUAUUUUGGGGUGUAUUUGGAUCACUAUUCUAUGGUCUUUCAACUACUACAAAGAUGUGUUGAAAAAGGAUGGACUCCCAUAGAGUUCCGAAUAAAGAAAUCCCCUAAUGGUAAUCUUAAUCUUCUUGUCCUUGUCCUUUUUCAUAAGAACAAAUACAGAUCAUAUAUAUCCUUUUUUGUCCUUCUAUGCUUACGUAUAUUUGCAUUUGUUUGAUUCCAAAUGGAUGAAGGACUGGUUUUGGUUUAGAGCCUUAAAAGUUUGAACCUUAGGAAUUUUUUUACUUCAUUUUGGUUCUACUUCAAAUUUCAGCCCCCUCAUAAUGAGUAUUUAUGUGCAUUUUGAUAUUGUCCAGUGAUCCACAUGGAUGUGACAUAGUGUAUCCUCUCAAUCACUUAGUAGAGGACAAGAAUCACCGACUAUGCUAAAGAGGCAUAAAACCUACAAAAGAAGUACAUUUUGAGUGUUAAAUAUCAGAACUUGUGGGUAAAUUAAACUUGAUAAUGGCUAAAGUGUAAGUGUUGAAAUGCAUUUAUAUAUUGACUACAACUUGUCUUUAAAUAGAAAAUACGGUGCAUGUCCAAAGAACAAGUUCUUUUGAUAUUUGAAGCAUGUUUAUAUAUUCUUGAUUCCUUCCGUUUAACGUCAUCCCCUCUAUCUCCUUGUGGUUCCCACAAAAGUGUGAUUAUUCAAGUUUGUUUAGUUUGAUAUUUGGUGGUAACUUGUGCUAAUCCUUAUCUUUACUUUCUUAUACAUGAACUCUCCUAAACGAGUCCAAUUGACUCUCCAUUCCCUUGCAUUCACUCAUCUUCGAGUCAACCUCCAUCAAAACCUCAAAAUGAAAGAUGAUAUUUUGGAUUUGAAACUCAAAUAUUUUAAAGAACAGUAGCACAACGACAAUAGGCCAAGUUCAUAACAUCUAAUGGUAACAACAAUUCAAAGGGAUUAAGAUAGAAAUUUGGAUUUACAAUCCAAUGAUGAUCGCAACAGUGGGCGUCAAAGUUCGGAUAAAUUGCAACCACAUCAAAUUAUUAAGAGAAGACAAAAUUUGGGUUGAUGGCUCAAACAUUUAAUUUUGUCCUUAUUUAUUUUCAAGCAGUUUGCAUUAAUUGUUAUUAAUUCUUAACCUUGAUUUCCUUUUGUUAUGCCUAGAUGAAUCCGCAGUUUAUUUGUCAAAUUCUGUCAUAACGUGAAAUUAUUUACUUGGAUAAUCACCCCAUGAAUUUUUGGGCAAACUAAAGCUUGAAGACUAACUUGAGAAUUCUCCAUAUUCUUUUGAGGGUUAGUAGUUAACUCGAUAUUCACGUUAAAUAAGUUGGGUCGCUCAAAAGUCUUAAUUAAGAUAAAUUGUUAAAAUUAGAAUUAUUUUGAAAUUUUGUAUUUAGUUUAUUUUGAUUAUCUGAAAUUAAUUAAAUGGAAAAAUUCUAAUAAAUUCUAUUCAUUUAAAAUGAGAUUUUUCAAACAACCUUAAAGGAUUUUUUAAAAAUAAAUUAGCCAAUAAGUUUAAUCCACGGAUCGACCACGUAUUAGAGGAUCUUUUAAGCCGCCUAACACCUUAGAGGAUAACUUAAACCCUUAUUUAAAGCUCUGAUUUUUUUUCAAUUAAAGAUUAUUUUUAAAAUUACCUUUGUUUAAAAGGUUUUCUUGAUUUGCUAAGGAUUAAAUGGCGACUCAAAGUUAAUUUUUUAAAAAUAAAAUAAAACAGCUUUUUUCGCCAGAAAUUGUGAAAAGGUUUUGAAACUCUAGUCUUAAAAAUUGAUCAUAAUAGAAUGUUAGACUUUGGUAGGGAUUCAAUAGGUUUUAAUCAUAAGAAUUUUAUUUGUUUGGCUAAUCUGUUUUUUUUUUUUUUUAAUUUUUUUUGUAAUAGUUGUUAUUUUUAUGUUAAAAUUUUAAAUAUUACUAUUGUAUUGUCAUGGCAUAAGGUUCUUCCAAAUGUAAAACAUUAAAAUGAAUUAUAAAAAAGGCAAUUAUGCAUCUUUCGCAGUCGUUUUCUCACUUGAAAAAUUAAAAUUUCUUAAAACAAUAAAAAAUUAGCUGAUUUUGGGUCGUCAGACACUUCUUUAUUAUCUUAGUCAUGGUUAUUAGCAUGAGUUUCUGGUCUAUUUUUCAAACCCACUCUUAAUACUUAUGAUAUAAAGAAUUCAAAUCUCAUAAAAUAAGCAUAUUGACCUAAGUAACUCUUUACUAAAGAGAUACCAGACGCAUUAGAAAGACCACCUUGUAUCUACUAGUUAUGAGUCAAUAGACGAUUAUCCCUUGCAUGUUUGAUUGAAGAAUGUAAUGUUGAAUUGUAUGGUUCAUUGUCCCUCAGGGUUGGAAAUUUAUUAUAGAUAGUAUUAUUUUAAUAAGAGGAAGGUCUUCCAUUCGAAAGACGUUAGGGAUAUUCAAGAAUUGAGGAUCUCCAAGGUAGAUCAGUUUAGGUUGUUACUCUUCGUGGGAUCAAUAUUAUUUAUUUCCCCUUUUCCUCAUUUUGUACCUCAUAUUGAUUUAUUCACAAAAUUAUAAUAUGUUAUUUUGUGGUAAUGCAACAUCUUACAAACGACAUUUACAUCCUUCAGAUGUUAGGCCUACUAUUGGCUUAAAAUCUCACAUAUAUGUUAGGAUGUGUUAAGUCUUACUUAUGUGCUAAGUGUUACCUAAUUUGCUAAGUCUGUGCUUACUUGAUUUAUAUGGUUAAAUAUGUAUGUUUUGCUUUAAACACGUCUAGUUUAUUGUUUUAUUCAGAGGUCUUAGAGUGUUAUUAGGCAUAUAAACUCAAAAUCUAAGCCUUCCUAAACUACUCUUCAAAAUUCCUUGUCAAAAUACUUUCCACCCAAGUUCUAUUCAAAAUUAAUAGGUCAUCAUUCAACUAAUGUUGGUCCGAACAUUCGUAUAGUCAGAUCCACUAAAUAUUUCACUAAAAUUUUAGUAUUCUAUUCCUUUUAAAGAAUUUUUUGAUAAACAUAUUUCCUUAUCAAGAAUUCAGUUGGUAUUACUUUAGAAAGCAUAUGAAUAUUGUACCUUUCCUCAAAUCACAUAGUUCAUACCCUCCAAAAUACUAUUCCUCUAUCAAGCUUAAGAGUUGUCCAAUGGUCAAAAUUCAGGUCAUUCAAUCAUUUUUCAAAAACUGCCCAUUCCUAGAUUUUAGACUAACCUGUUUCGAGCAAAUAAAUGUUAUUUGUUACAUAUUACUUUGAUUAAUUAUUAUAAUCAAUGGACUAAAUUUUACACCUUUUGAUUUUUAUUUCUCCUUUAGAGAAAUACUAUUUUUCGCUGAUAAUUAAAUUUGCUCGCUUCAUAAAGACUAAAGAAAAUCAGUUUCGAGUAAUCGCUGGCAGAAUAUACGUAUUUCACAUGGUCUAAGGUUAAGAAAACAACUAUAGAAUCAUUAGUUUUCACUUGGGUUUUCAAAAAGACUCAUUCGAAUAUGGAUCCCAAUUUGAUCAACACAAUCACUUUAUCUAAAUCAAUUUCCACUUUGGCAGUCACAAUGGAUCCUAGCGCCUCUACAGAAAGAUAAGUGACCACAAAGAUCAUUGCUAGUAUGGAACAACAAAUUGUUGAACUAAGGCUCAUGGUAAUGCAGAGAAGAACAUCUUCUCCGAUUCCCUGAAACAUGACCUUGUCUCCUGAUGUUCGUCAAAAAGGGUCUAUUAUUUCCAACCUCAAAUGAGUUUGGUCAAGGAAAUUAUUUCACCACUCCUCAACAAGUUGAAAAGGUGCAUGCCCCUCGAAAUAUUCCUCUUAUGUACACAUUCUGCUCUGCCAUUGUGCACUCUCCUAUUACCCCACUAGCAACACAAACCUGAUGACUAUAUCUCGUAGAUAUUGAUCUCUAUAUUGGAACUGAAAAUGAUCUAAGGGUUAUUAAUUAAUGAAAUACUAAAUAGAAAGCUCAAUAACUUGGAAGAUACUAUGAGAAGUCUUCACGAGCUAGAUAAUAACCAAAGCCUAAAGUAUGAGGAAUUGUUUGCAUUUCCUGUGAUCAAGUUGCCAUUGGGAUACAAGAUUCCAAACUUUGAGAAGUUUGAUGGAUUUGGAAAUUCUUUCUUCCACUUUUAAACUUAUUGUGAAAAAUAGAUCGAUGUGGGUAAGAAUGAAAGAAUAAGGAUCGAACUAUUCAAUUAGAGAUCAAGUGGGAAAGCUUUAGAGUGGUACGCUAAGAAAGAUGUGACCAAAUGACACACUUGGGAUAACUUAGAAAAUACUUUGUGGAUCACAAUAAAUCUUAUGUUGAGAUUGCUCCUGAUAGAAUCUCUAUUACAAAGCUAAGGCAAAAAUUAAAUGAGUGUUUUUAUCAAUACACCAUACGAUAGAGAGAUGAAAUAACUAGUAUACAACCUCCCAUAGAGGAAGCUAAAAUGAUAACUUUCUUUUUUCAAACCUUAAACCCAAAAUGUUUUGAUCGAAUGGGCUAGAAAAACCUUUGCUGAAAUUUUCAAGACUAGAAAAAUAGUUGAAGAUGGUCUUAACACAAGGAGAGUAAUAAAUUUGAUAGAAUUACAAUUCACUCAUAAGUCCUUCUAAACUAACUCUUUUGGAAAUGGGAAGAGAAAGGACAAAGAAGUUAUGAGGGUGAUGACUCAAGAAAGUACAUCAUGACACAAACAAUCUCCACAACAUUAGUGCAAUGCUCAGUAUGUCCUAUAUCUGGUCUAUAACAUGCAGACAACAUACCAUGCUCAACUAACACCACAAAACUAUCAAAAUAAUGCACCUCAUGCCAACCAUAAAAAACCUCACAUGGUCUUCAUUGUAAUGACUUGAUUCUGUAAACUUUUUUUUGUGUGUUUUGACUAUUUUACCUAUCCUCGUAGUUGUUGUGUGUUAUUUUUGGGAGUGGGUAUGAUUGGCAUAGUUUUUUUAUGCGAUCCACAAUAAUUUGUACGAGUUUUUGGGUUUUUAGAGGUUAAAAGGGCUUAUAGUUAACUUCGAUCAAUAUUUGUUAUUUUGUUGUCAGAUGGAAUAAUAGAUUGCGCAAGAAGAUCCGAAAUAUUAAUUUUUAAUUAUUGAUGUAGCCUGGACUGGGGCCUUGUCGUAAUGGGCAUCCUAAGUCCACCUAGGAUCGGGGACCACCCCCUUAACCCAACCUAACCACCUUAUACAACCUUAAAUGAGGUAAAUUUCGAGCAUAUAACAAGAUUGCACAAUGCUCUCGUGAAGACUCUAGGAUAGGGUCACAACUAUGACCGACCCAACCAAGUCUGUCCAUACAAAACUAACUAUCCAAACCGUACCAAACUAAAGAGAAUAUUGAAACAUAAUAUGAAAUUCAAACCCAAAAUGUAUUACGAUGGAACAACCAAUAAUAUCAUCCAAGGGUGUAAGCCCAGCAUCCAUCUCGAUGCCAAGGUCAACACCAAUACUGAUCCCUCUUAUUCCAACACCCAGAAGUACUACAAAGCCUCUAUCAAUAAGAAUACAAAUAUCCAAUUGGGACAUGCCCCUAACCAUGGCCAAAACCAAUAUCCAAAAAAAUAAAAAGUCUAAGAAUGUCCAACAUAAAAUGAUGCCUUCUGAAAUGAUGGAAGCUCACUACUUAAGUUUAAUAAGCUAUCCCCAAAUCAAGUAUUAUAAAAAAGGAGUCAAACGUUCGAUUCCUACAUAGCGUGGGUAUACAACCUCCAGUAGACGGGUUAGUGGGUGAAAACUAGCAUGAAUCUUGGGAUAUGGAUAAAAUAAUGUCAUUUAUCUUGGGAUAAGUGCUGGGAUAAGGGACCGGGUUUAGCAUGCCAUUUAAAACCUUAACUUGGGUCAUGUAGCUUAGCCGUCCUACCACCCACGGGCCAUAUGAGUUCAACUCCUCCCGUUGAAAGGGUUUCGGUGUGUGUAGUCGCACGACCAGGAAAUAACCCUGGGAUGACUAGUACAUCCCUCCAAUAUAAACAUGACACUCGCACGUGGUCAUCAAAGACCCGUUAUAUCAACAAAUUUGAGUUUUCAAUUUUGAUCCCCCCGGGAUUGCUACCUUCCAUGACUUACUUACACUCUCGCCAUUAAUGCCCAAUCAAAACCAAGUCCAAACAAUCCAAUUAUCCAUUUAUUAACCAAGGAUAUUUGAUAAAUCAGUGGUAUCAUCAUACCAUCAUACUUGCAAGCAUUAUUCAUAGCCAAACCAUUUAGAUUAAGGGGACUCUUGAUGCCCUUUCCAUUUACCAUAUUAACUUUUUAGGAGACUACCAUGUUUUCUACAAGCAUUACCAAUUAUCCAUUAACCUUUGUAAAUCAUUGAGAAACAUUUAAGGUUUCAUAAAUAAGCCGAAAACAAGAAAGAGUUCCAUUAAUUUAAGUCAAUGCAAUGAACAUAUCUUUAUAAGCAUUUUAUCAAACACCUUGGGGGCUUAAUAUAACCAAAACCAAAUUUCAUUACCAUUAAACCAUUACCAUGUAAUUCCAUUAUCCAAAAGAAUCAUUAAUACAUAGAAAGCAUAAUUAAAAUCAUAAGAAAUCAUAACCAAGCCUUUAACAUCAAAACCCCCAAAUCAAUGAUUGAAAACCAAAACCAUGCAAGAGUAUAAACCAUGGAAUCAACUAUUUAACCAUGACUUUAACUAAAAUUAAAAGUAUGGAAGAGAAUUAUGCCUUAAACCAAGAAUAUUUAUGGAACAAAUUCACCAAGACAAGCCCCAAAGUAAGCCCUUAGCUAAAACCCUAGCUCUUUGCCCCAAAAGCUCUUGAGAGAAUUAUGAUAUGUUUUAGAAGAAAUUCUAAGUGAUUAAGAAUAAAAUAAUAGGGUAAAUAACCUCCUAAGUGUAUUAAAAUUUGUGGGUCCUUAUCAGGGUAAAUAACCCCCACUUAAAUCCCAUAAAAAUUUGACACAGGGUCACGACUGACCUUCUUAUGAGUCAUAACCUAGCUUAUGGUUGAUACCACCCAAUUGUAACCAAUCCUUAACCAUGGAUCAGACACUGUCUAGUAUACAACUCAUCCAACUAAGUCACAACCUCAACAUACAAUCCGUACCCAUGAUUUGUAUUCCUGGCAGAAUGCAACACCAGGAGGAUUAAAUAUUGAUUACCUUAGGAGUUACAUGUAUGACUCAUACCCACGUCUUAUGAUUUAUACCCUCAAGUCAUAUCCAUUUCAGUUUCCAAGACCAUCGCACUGACUAACACUGGUUAGUCUACAAUAGGUCUUCAUCACUCGUACCCUAGCUUACAACUCGUACCAUGAGUCAUAAUAGGUCUGAAGAAUGAGAUUCUUAGUAAUUUUCUAAGAGUCCGAACUUGGGAUGCUUCAAUUGUUAGUGUGGUUGGUUCAAUUUUAUGUCUUUUGGAUCUCAUUUUGACCUUUGGUUUAGAAAUUUGUAAAAUUGGAUCUUGAGGGUCAAUUUUGUGAAAACCACCUUAUUUUUGAAUAUUUGAUGUCACAAUUGAGUCUGAAACAUUGAAUUUAGUCUAGUAGCAUAUUUUGUUUGCUUUCAUGUCAUUUCAAAUGAAUCUCCAGGGGUCGAUUGGCAACUUUGCAACUUACCAAGUUAUUGAUACAACUAAAAAUUUGUUGUAACCGAUUUAGUGGCCAUACACUGCUUUAGCGGAGGGUCUACUAGCAGUCAACUAUCGCUAAAGUAGACAUUGAUCGCUUUAAUAGCUGUUGCUUUAGUGGUAGGGGACCUCUUUAGCGGCUUAUAAUUUUUGGGCUGGAACGCCUGAGCGGUCAACCAAUGCUUAUGCGAUAACUAUUUAAGUGGUCAUUUAAUCACCUUUACGGUCAUAGUUGGACAUGUAUAAAAACCCUUUUUCUCAAUUUUUAUUUCAUUUUUGAGACUUUGAGCUUUAGGUUAAGAAUUUUUGGAUGUCUUAUUCCAUUUUUGAGCUUGGGUAAGCUCUAAAUCACCGUUUCAAAUACUUUACUUUGCUUAUUGUCAUUUAAAACCCUUCUAAAUCAUGAUUCUGGAUUAGAAUUUGGAAAUUUUGACCUAAAAGGCCUAAAAAAGGAAUUUUCUUUGAUUUAAACCCUAUUUUAAAUCCAUUUUCACUUGAUUUCUCCUAUUUCUUCCUUUAAUUAUGGGUAAGGUAUUUAUAAACAAAAAUUUCUACUUUACUCUUUCAUUUAAAAAAUCUAUUUCGGGGAUCCAUUUUGACCCUGACUUGAAAAUGGGUAAUAUGGGUAUCGUUGACUUCCUUUUAAUGUGUAGAUUAUCUAUUUGAAUGUUUUAUUUGAUUUAUAGGCCAUUCGAGAGGAGAAAGAUCCAUAUUGAAGGGCUUUAGCUUGGUUUUUGACGUUACGAGGUAGGUUAUGUCUUAACUUUCUUCAGAUUAGGCUGGGUAGUUUAUAUUUAUAUAAAAGAAUGCUACGAGUAUAGGUAAUAAUCAUGGCAAUAAUAUUAUUUCCAUUUUGUGCUUGUGUGGGGGCUUAUAUUAUUAUUGUUGGUCAUUUGAGAUGAUAAUUGCUAUGUGUUGCCUGUCUGAGGGCUUUAUCGGAUAUUAUUUUUUAUAUGUUGUAAUGAUCUGAAUCUGGUACCCAAAAUGCCCCACGGUGCUCAUGACCCCAAAGGACCACAAGAUGAACCAUGACUGAUAUCUGUAACUGAGCACUGCAUAAUAUAAUGUAUAAAUAUAGUAUAAAAGGCUGAAAGGGCAUAAGGUUAAAAAAUUUGAUAAAACAUAAAAUUUGGAGAUAUGGUACAUCACUACCAAAACAACUGAAAUAACUGUCUAAACAUGCUAUAGUAUGAAUAAGCCUCUAAUUAUCUGAAUAAGGAGUUGAUGGGACAUGUCCCCAACUAACUCCAACUGCUAAAAUAAACUAAGUACUGAAAUACUGAAAUGAUAAAGCAUCCUUGAAUGAUGAGGACUCACUGCUAAUCUAUUGCUGCUGAUUGAAACCUUAGCUACUAAGUGCGAUCAGGAACCUGAGCGUCCGAACCUAUGGUAUAAAACACCAUAGCACAAAAGAAAAGUAUACGUCAGUACAUGAGAAUGUACUGGUACGCAAGUGAGGUAGGCUGAAUGCAUGGGGUUCAUAUUCAUGAGCUAUAACUGACUGAUAACAUGAACAUGAACAUAACUGCGUGAGGAUACAUGUAUGAAAACAUAACUGCAACUGAAACAUGGGGAUUCUGAACACUGAAAAUACUGAUAACAUGGAUUACUGAUAGCUGAUAUAACUGAUACUGGGUGACUAUUGCUGAUAGUAUUAAUUCUGAUAGAACUAGCUGAGUUCCAUACUGAGUUGAGUGGCUGUAUCUGGCAGUCCUAAAAUCUGUAGAACUAUUUGAGUUCUAUUACUGAGACUAAGACUGUGGGAGGUAGUCAUCUAACCGAUAUGCCCCUAAUAAGUUGUUAUAGCUGCGUUGGGGUCCUAUCUGUAACCCUAAUUAGAAUGGUAUCAAUACCGCACCACUGGUAAAGACAAGCUGUGAGUGACCCUCAUCUGGUAGUGUCUCCAAAGGAGAAUGGUGGGACCCUCAUCCGACAGUGUUAAUCCACCUCAUCAACCCUUAACUGUUAGUGUUGAUGUCUCAACCUAUGCUGGCUACAUAGUUCUGGAAUGCAAGGAUUGCUUGUAAGGGGUCACACCCUCUACUGUCAGUGUGUGCCCUCAUCCUUGGGUUUGUUCGGUGCUAAAUCCUACUCCCAAUUGAAUAGACACUGAACUGAUUAUACUAAUAUGAACUGGACUGAGUUCACUGCGUUUCAUGGACUGAUGGAAUAUUACUGAAUUCUGUUAACUGACUGAGUUCAUGAGAUUGCUGAGUUUUCCUGAUUCAUAUAGCUGACUGAAUUCUACUGAUCAUGGCGUGACUGAGAUUAUCAUAAAACUGACACUGACUCUAGGCACACAACUAAAUUAUCGCGUAUAAAUAUCCAGGACUCGAUAGCAUAAUAGUAAAUCAUGGCAUAAGUUCAAAAGCACAACAAUGGCUAUAUAGAUAUAUCUAUAAUUCAUUGACUAAGACAUUUCAUCAAACACUUGACAUGCAUUAACUUGUACAUGAAUGGGGAUUUCAUAUUAACAUACUAUAGUGGCACUUUUUCCUUCACCUAGGCAUUUUAUCAAACACAUGGGGAGUAUACUUUGGUUAUACCAUCAUUAAUUCACCUAAUUAUCAUGGUUGCAUAAAUAAAUUAGCAAAUUUGAAGGGUUUAUCAUUAAUAUUAUGCAAAAAAUCACAUACUAGGAAUAAUCAUUAGAACAUGGAAUUUAAAACAUGAAUCAAAACCCAACAACAACAUGAACAUGAAUCUCAAUUCAACUAAAUCAUGAACAUUCAUAAUUACAAAAUCCUUGAAUUUAGAAAAGUGAUUCUUGAGCUUCAUGGGUGAAAGGGGACCCAUGAAUCAAUACUUGACAUACCUGGAAAUCUAAGUUCUUGAGGUUCUUGAAGAAAUUCUUGGAAUUGGCCUUGAUUUCUUGAUCUAUGGAUUUUCCUCUUGAGAGAGACGGAUUUUGUUCUUAAGAGAAAGUGAGGAAAAAUGAUAUAAUGGGGUUUUUAGGGCAUAAUUUUUUGGUUAAAGACUGAUCUGGGUCAUGAAAAAAGACCCAAUUUACCUUAGAAAGUUUUUAUUUUUCAUCACUGAAAACCCGAUUUGGGCACCUGGCGCGGCGCAGUGCUAUCGAGCCGUGUCUCUGGAAAAUGACUACUAAGAAAUUGCAUCAUGGCGUGACGCGGUUAAAUUAUGUUGCAAUACUGGAUGGGAUCUGGAAGCUCACUACGACGUGGUGGUAUUGCGUUGAGACACUGGAAAGGGACAAUUUUGAAUUUGAGCCUUGGCGUGAUGCUCCAUAAUCGCGGAGGCUUACUGGAUUUUACAAUUGCUACUUUGGCAUGCUCUGCGUCGCGUUGAUGGCUCAGGUGGCACACUGUCUUACUAAAAUGGCUCUAAGACUUUGGCUGAGUAUCGGAUUUAGUCAAAUUUGGUAUCGAUGGAAAGCUUAUUCAAUUUUCCACAUAGCUAAAAGUCAAAAUCUUGAAAAUUACACAUGUAUAAAAGUGGAUUCUUCUUUUAAAGUAAGCCUUUUGCAUUUUUGGGAUGAUUUUAAGCUAGGUAAAAGUACGGGGUAUUACACAUACACACAUAUAUAUAAAUAUGAAUUGGUUGCUUACUUCAUGGUAGAAUUAUCCUAGUUGGGAUUAAUAUGAUAUUAGUGAUUCCUUAUGUGCAUAAUUUUCCUGUGGUACAUUGCUUAUAUGUAAUCAUAGAUAGUUGAUAUAUUGAGUAGUUUAUGAGCUCACCAAUGCAUGUAUUGAAUGGAUUCAAGAUCUCUAUAUCAGUUUAGUUGUGAUCAUUACAUCCUCAUAUCACACAUACAUUCAUGAGACAUUGGUACCAUUGAGUAAUCAUUGAUUUUUGAUAGAAAUAAGGCACUUUUACAAAAUCGUCUGCCGUAGCCCAUGAGCUGGAGAGGAGAUAUGAAUUUUGAGAUUAUGAUUGAGUAUUGAGAAAGUAUAUGGGUUGCAAACCACCCAUGGUUCCUACCUGAAAGUGUUGAUGCUCUGUAGGUGUAUACGGAUGUCAUGCUGUAACCUCGAUCAUCGCACAUUAUCAUUAUUGCAUUUCAUCCAUUUAUGCAUCUUCAGUGUUGUGCUUUUGUGUUUCAUCUGAUGCAUAUCUAUUAUAUUUCUUUUGUUCCUGCUUUCUUGUUUAUGUGCUAUAUUUAGAACUAUUAGUGAAGAUGAUGUGAGAUAUCGUUUGGGUAUUUUUUUAUUGGAGGUGACAUGCUUAUAGUAUGUAUUUAUGUACCUUAUUUUUCUACUUUACUCAGUCAACCUAUAAUACCACUGAGUACAAGUGGAAUGUACACUACCCUACUAUGUCCUUUCAAUGCAGAUCUAGGUACGAGUGCAUUAUGCGACAACUAUAUCGUGCAUUACUUAUUGAUAUUUCAAGGAAGUGGCCGCACGCUCUAUGCUUUUAGAGUCCACCUCUACCCUCCUCCUAUCUUUUUGAUGUCUUUAUUUUAUAUUCAGAGACAAAUUUGUAGUUUUUCAAACUCAAUUAUAUUUUUCAAUUCUGAGUUGUAGUUAGAUUGUUCUUACACCGUUACACCAGGUUUUGUGAUGGUUUAUCGUAUCUUUAUUGUUCAAACUUAUGCUAUUAUUGUACAUAUAUGGUUGGACUUUGCUCUAGAAGUCUCAUAUUGGAAAUUGUGUUAUAUUUCUUCUUAUAUAUCAGUUGAUUGAAUGACUUACUUGUGACACACCCCAAAAUUGGGCCUUGUCGAAUGCGCACCUCAAGCCCACAUGAACAGGACGUUGCCCUGAUAACCCAACCCAAUCAUUAUCACAUCCAUCACUAGGGUCGAGUGAAUCCUGACCAUAUAAUUAGAUAGAGGAAGCAAUACUAGAAGUCAUAACUUAAACAUAUCUAAACACUUCAUUAGGUUCAUCACUCUAACCAAUAUACCCAUGUCCUCAAUCAUCCACAAAAUCUCUACAAAUCCAAUGUCUAAAACAUGUCAGGACAUGCCCCCGACAAUAGGUAACAUUAAGCCAAAAUAAAUCAAGUCUAUGACUUAAAGUAAAAUACUAUGAAAUGUAUGACUUACGGAGAUUGGAAGCUCUCCACUUCAAUGUCAACAUACGACAUGCCUAAACACUUGGUCACUGCGUAGAAAAAAGAAGAAGAAGCUGAGGAACCUAUAUCUUAUGGGGACAUAGCAUUCGGAGAUGGUUAGCGGUUGAAGCGCUAGCAUGAAUCUUGAGGAUAAGGAUGAAGUAGCACAUUAGGUCAAUUUAAGUGAAAUCAUCAUAUAAAAUCACAUUUACAUUAACAAAGGCAUAUAUGAAGAGACAUAUGCAUAUGUUUAUAUAUAUAGCAUACCGAGUCAUUGAAAGAGUCAUAGAAAUCAUUCUUAAAGCAUUCAUUCUUGAAACAUAGAGUGAAGAACUUUCAGCCUUUCACUUUACCAAUUUGAGAACCUUAAACUUCUCCGUUACAUUAGUCAAGGGGAUCCAAUCCUCAAACCAACUCAAAAAAUUCAACCAAAUUCAUUAGGAAAGGGACUCUAACCACAAGCCAUUUCAUUGGGUGAGGGACUCCAACCACAAGUGUAAGACCCCACAAAAGCCUAGCUUAACUCAGUCCUUUAGAGCAUGAAAAGAGGUACCAGACUUAGAAAUUUGAGCCAAGUGUUUGUACUUAAAAUCAUUUUUAGCCUUCAUAAUUUGGCAAUAUUAUUUUGCGACUCUUAUGACAUUAAAAUAUUGAUCCUUGGAUUGAAUCAUGAUCAGGUGUGUCCAUAGGUCACUUCGGGUGAGUUUCAAAUUUUUUGGACCUCGUUUAAAACGUGUUUGAGUGACCAAAAUAGUGGGUUGACGCGUCGCGUCAUCCAUCUCAUUGAUGAAUAUUUUUCCUAACGUCAGAGUGCAAAUUCCAAUGAUCCAAUGAAAACUUGACAUGAUGCGUUGGUCAUCGCAUAGAUACCAUCGAUGCGGUGCGUCGGUCUGUGCAUCAUUAGGCAUGUUUUAAGUAAUUAAAAAUUCCACGUUCAGAGGGGUAUUUGAGUUAUUUUCCCACCUUAUAUCAACCCCAAAAAUAUGAGAUUAAGCCUUUAUAAAGGCUAAAUCACUCAUUCUCUCUCAAAUUUUCUCAAGAACAAACCCUAGGGCAUCCAAUUUCAAAUUCAAACUUAAAGAACACACCAAUAAUCUUCACAAAAUUGAUUACCAAGGUAUGUUAGGUGUUCAUCCAAGGGUUUUAUUCCACCCUUGGAGUUCAAGAACCUCUUUUAAAACUACAAGUUGAUUGAUUUCAUGAAUUUUAUGUUGAAUUUGACUGUAUUCAUAAUUAUGAUGUUAUUUGGAUUUUCUAAUCCAUGAUUUAUUACAAGUUUCACGUGAAGUAAUUAGUAUGUGUGUAGUGAUAUAUCGAUUUAUGUUAAAAGCCCCUUGAAUUUUUGAGUUGGGAUUUGUGAUCAUGAUGCUUGCAUGUUAAUUAUUAUUAUGUGCAUAAAUCAUGCACCCAAGUAUUUGAUAAAAUGUUCAUGUGAGUUGAAGGGUGAAAUCAUGACAUAAUUAGUAUGUAAACAAGUUCAUGUAUCUCAAGUGUUUGACAAUAUGCCUAGGUGACUGUAUUGUUAACAAGUAUUUAUUAUUAUGUAUUUCAAGAUCAUGCCAUGCUUUACUUUCCAUGCUUUCGAGUCCUGGGUGUAUGCAAUACCCAAAAAUCUAGCUGUUUACCUAGAGCUACAGUAGUUAUAGAAUAGCCUUAGUAAUGUCUCGAAUAAUAGUACCCAGUUAAUUGCAGAACUCAGUGAAACUCAGUAUUAGUCUAAUUUAGAUCAGUAUCAUGAACAGUGUAUUCAGUCAGUUAAUAGAACUCAGUGAACUCAGUCCAGUUCAGUCAGUUAACCCGAUCAGUAACAGUCCAAUCAAGCCUAGUACAGUCUAGAAAUCAGUUCAGCGUCUAUUCAGUUGGGAGUACAAAUUAGCACCGAGUGAACCCAAGGAUGGGAGCACACCUGCCAGUAGAGGGUUUGAUCUUUAAUAGCAGUCCUUGUAUUCUAGAACUACAUAGCCAGCGUAGGUUGAGAUAUCAACCUGCUAUUUGAGGAUUGAUAAGGUUUUUAACCUGCCAGUUGAGGGUACCACCAUUCUUAUUUAGGGCAACUUCCAGAUGAGGGUAACUCUUCAGCUUAUCUUUACCCGUGGCACGGUCUGACACCCUUCAACGGGGUUACAGGUUGGACCCCAUUCCAUUCUUAGAGGGGCAUGUCAAUUAGAUGAUUACCUCAUACAGUUUCAGUUUUAGACUCAAUAUAUAACUUAGUUAAGUUUUAUAGAAUCGGGAUUGUUAGACAUAAUCACCCAGCUCAGUAUAGAACUAAGUUCAGCUUUACAGAAUCAGGACUGUCAGAAAUAGUCACCCAAUUUUUAGUAAUACUGUUAUCAGUAAUCUCAGAUAUCAGUAACUCAGUUAUCAAAACUCAGACUUAGUUUUAGUAAUAAUAUCAGAUACACUAUAUAUGUAUAUGUGCAACAUUACAUACUCAGUAUUUACAGUAGUUUCAGUAUUCCAUGUGCUCUCAUUCAGUUACUUCAUAUCAUUCAGCCAGUUACUGUUCAUGUAUAUGAACCUUUGCAUUUAACCUUACCUCACCUAGUAUACCAGUACAUUCCAUAUACUAAUGCAUACUUUCUCUUUGCGCUAUGUAUCACAUAUCAUAGGUCUGGAUGCUCAGGUUCCCAAUUGUGCUUAGAUAGAUUUGGAUAGCAGCAGUAGUUUUAGUAGUGAGUCCUCAUAUAUCGAGGAUAUGCUUUUAUUUUAGUAUUUUCAGUAGCUUCAGUAUUUCAGUAGUCGUAGUUAGUUGGGGGCUUGUCCCAUCAACUCCACAUUCAGACGGUUUAGUUAGAGGCUUUUUAAACUAGACUAGUUUAGACAGUAUUUAAUUUUAGAUAUUAUUAUUAUAUAUUAUACUUAAUAGUAUUCAUAUUAUGAACCUUAGGGAAUUUUAGCCUAGCAUUCACAUUAUUUCAGUAUUAUUAUUCAGUGCUCACAGCAGGUGCCAGUCAUGGGUUAGCUUAUGGUCUUUUGGGGUCGUAAGCAUCAUCUGGCGCCUAGGGUACAGACUCGAGGCAUUAUAACAAGCCAUCUUAUUAGGCGAAGGACUUAAACCAUAAGCCAUCUUAUUGGAUGAGGGAUUUCAACCUCAAGCCAUCUCAUUGGGCGAGGGACUUCAACCACAAGCCAUUUGAUUGGGCAAGGGACUUCAACUAUAAGACAUUUCAUUAGGAGAUGGACUUCAACCACAAGAUAUCUCAUUAGACAAGGGACUUCAACCAUAAGAUAUCUCAUUAGGCGAGGAACUUCAACCACAAGCCAUUUCAUUACCAUUAUUAGUCGACAUUUGGACUCUCAAUCCCUUUUAGUCCAUGCAUUAACAUUCAUACAAUGCACUUCAAUAUUUAAUAACUUGAACCAUUUACACACAUCAACACCAUACGGGAUCAUAAGGUCUUAAUGGAAGUAUUUAUUGAUUAACCACUUUAUUAGGCCAAUGCCUUCACUCAAAUUAUCAUUGAAUUCAAAUUAUAAUAAUCAAGACCCUUACGAGCCAUUCAAUCUUCAUUAGCCUUUCUAUACCACACUUUAGUUCUACACAUAAUUUAAGUUCGUGUUUAGGGAAAUGAACCCCUUUCUUAGACAUCAACCGACAUGGUAAUAAUUUAAAUAAUUAAAUGGAUAACAAUACCAUUACAAUACCAUUUCUCAACCAUUCAUACUUAUUGGUCCAUCACACCAUCUAAAGUCAUAAAUUAAUCUAUUACAUGAUUAAUAAGGUUCUUACCAAUCAUUUACCAAGCAUUCAUAUUCAUUACGAGUUAAUAGAUGGAUAACAAUGCCUUUACCAACCAUAUAUAAAGUGUUCACAUUCAUUAUGGUCAUGUCAUAUCCCAUUCAUGUUCACUAGACCAAUACCAUAGUUCAAUACACCAUUAACAUGUGACAAGAUACUUCAUUUAGAUAUUCACCUUGUGUGCAUACCUUUAUCAAGGACAAUUCAUGGUAGAAUUCAUUAAUAUUAGGGUUAAUAAAGACCCACAUAUUAUAACACAUAAAACAAGCACCCAUAUUUGCAAAUCAUCAUUAAUAACAUGUAUAAACACAAGUCUAAGCUAAAGUCAACAUUAUCCAUUAUUAGGCAACAAAACCCUUUUUAUUUGAUUUCAAAAUCACCUUGUACACUUACUAAUUCAAGUGUAAAAUAUAUAGGUUUGGAGUUAUUUAAUAAGGGAUAGAGAGACAUGCCUUAAACAAGAUGAUCUACCAAGAAAAACUUGACUCCUCUCUCCCCUCAGAUGAAUUCACUUGAAACCCUAGCCUCCAAAUCUUCCAAAGUGUUUGAGAGAGUAUUUUGGAUGUUUGAUCCACUCAAAAUAUGUUUUAGAAGGCCAUAUACACUUAUAUAGUGAGGGGACUUAGGGUUUUGGAAAUAUAAAAUAACCACAAGGACCUUAGUUAAGAGAUGGAAAAGGACCCAUCCUAGGGUACGACUCACUAAGAAACCGCACCCUGGGGUAUGCGUGGUACCCUAAAUCAUACCAUAGUCUUCUCCUAGGCCACCUAUACUAUUAAGGGUACAACCACAUACCCUUGAGUUGUAUCUAAAGGGUAUGCAUCAACCCUAACUUGUAAGCUUCAACAUAUUAAAAAUAGUCUACUCAAAGUUUAAGUCCAAACUCCAUAUGAAUCACUUGGUAUGACUCAUACCUUAAGGUACAAUUUAGGAGGGUAUCACUCAUACCUAGGAUAGUGAGAAUCCCUCACCAUAAUAUCUAGGUCAUAAGAGAGGAGGCAAAGGAGGAUACAACUCUUAUCCAAGAGGUAUGACUUAUGCCCCUAGUCGUAACCAACUUAGAGACACCCAAUGAAGAAGUUCUUCUCAUGGUUCAAAACCUAGGUGUUUUAACUUGUUAAGUCUUAGCCGCUAUAAAUUCCAUCACUACCUUAGUUUUUGGGUCAUGACAUUCAUACAACUAGAAAAAUCACUUAAUCAAUGCUAUGAGAGGUUUAAUUUAGUAGGACUACCUUAUUCAGAGGAAACGAAGCCUGUGAAUACUUCAACCAAUUACUAUGAUCCAAACAAGUGAUGCACUUAGCACUCUGAAGUUGUUGGACAUGAUAUUGAGAAGUGUAUCACUCUCAAGCAUAAAAUUUAUGACUAAAUUGACAAAAAAGUGAUAACACUUGUAGAUGCUCAAGUAAAAUUGAACAAUAAUUCAUUGCCCAAUCACUAGAAUGUAACGAUCCAUUCUAAUAUUGCUAAAAAUAUCUGUGCUAAAAGCAUAAUAACCUCUUUCACCAUAAGUUAUAAGACUAAUUAUUUAGUAUGAGAGUGCACUGAACAUGCACUAAGGUCAUACAAUACCCUAAGCACAAAUUUAAGUUGGAUAUGUUUUACCAAUUGAGUUUUAUACUAAUUUUAAACUAGGGUCAUGUUUAAACAAGCAUAUAUCCUAGAAUAUAAAGGAUUAUACAUCUUGAUAGCCACCAAAUGGAAGAUCUUUGAAUCCCUUUUCCAUAUGCAUGUGAUUGUUUGUCAAUCUGUCUUUCGAAUAAAAAAUUAUGGCUAUUUUACUAAACAUUAUCUGGGCUGAGAAAUUAAUCGCCGCAGCGAAACCACUGCUAUAGUAAUUUUACCUUUACAGUGGUAAUUGGGUAGCUCUUAAGUUAAUUGUGGAUAGAUUUUUGGGUUUUAACUCAAAAACUUUAUCCCAAAGCCUUAAAGGGCAAUUUUCUAACUUCUUGGGUGCAAAUUCUCAUUGAGGUAUGUUCUUUCACCAUCUUCAUCACAUUUCACUCCUUUAGUAUCCUAGAAUCAUCUGAACAAUCUUUAAUAGUGAUAUUCUUUGGGAUUUAAAUCCUAAGUUCAUGAUAUUUUGGGGGAAAUAUUUGGAUUGAGGUAAUAUCACGUAGAAUUACUUAUAGAUUUUUAAUUAAUAUAUAGAUUAUUGAUUAAUGAUUUCUAGUAUGAACUUGUGAUUCUAAAAUAGGAAAUUUGAUUAUUCAGAAUCUUGAAUUAUUUAAAAAUUGAACCUUUAUCCUUGAAACUUUAUUAAUAGUGAUGGAUUGAGUAUGAUAGAGCUAGUUAAAAGGCAAUUGAUCCUUGAGGUAAUGUUUUAAACCAUGAAUAAGGAUAGAAUUAGUGGGUUGAAUUUCUAAAGUAUUUAUAUGAAGAGUAAUUGAUUAAUUACUUUUAUAAUUAUUUUAUUUCUAGAUUAUUAGGCUAAUAAAGGCAUGACAAAAAGAGAAAAAAACCCUAGUAUGCCUUAUCUGUUCUAAGAUCUUCAAUCAAGGUAGGUUAUGAUUUAUGUAUGUAGAAUUUGAUUAGUGGUAUAUAAUAACUGUAGUUAGCGGGAGAUUUCAUAUCUAGGCCUGUGAAUAUGGAGUUUGGAAGGAUAAACCAUGGAAUCAUGUAAUAAUAAUAUAAUGCAUGUUAUGUAUUUGGUUGGCUUACUUGAUGAUGUAUAGAGUUUAGUAUGUUAAUGUGAAUAAUAAUUGAAGAAUUAGGGGACCUUCUAAUCUAUAGAGCUAGUAUUUGCUUCCUUAAAAUGAGUGAACCUGAUAGUGUGUAUUUUUGAAGUAUGAGAUAUUCUUGCAAUAAGAGACUUUGGAGAAUAAUUGUGAUAAGAGAAUGUGAUGAUAUAAAUUAAGAACCUAAAGUCAAGUUUGGCUAAGUGCUAGAAAAGUAAAAUGUGUAAAAGUGGAUGACUCUAGAAAUUAUAAUCUAAAUUGAGCCAAGUGGUUGAAUAACCCACUAAAGCAAAUAUUUUCUUGAACUCAGUGAUGACUUUAGUGUAAGGGUUACUAGUUAGUAACUAAAUUUAUCUUAGAUUUAGAUCCGUGAAUUUUGAAAGUUUAUGAGCUAAAAGUUAAGUAAAAUAAUGCAGAAAAGUAAGGACUUUGGACAAUCAAUGGAUGAAAACCCAGGUCUAAAACACUACGUACAAUCAUACUAUGCUAAAAAACUUUAUCGGUUAGACUACUUAUCUUGGUUGUUGAUUCUUAGAGUUUAUCACAAGAUCAUGGUCUCCCGACUUCUUAUCAUCUACCUAACUUCGACACUAAAACUACAUCAUUGAGCCGUGAUGUAAUAAUCCAAUUAGAAGCAAGAAUCUAUCAUUCUACAUGUUAACCAAGAAUCACUUCUAGGUAUAUCCCUAUCCUAGAUACUAAUUUAAAUCCCAUAUUUUAUAAAGGAAUAAGAACCCUACUCUAUUUACCCCCAUAUUCUAUCUUCCUCUUCCCCAACCCGAGAUCACAAGGUUGAAAAAAUAUGUAUUCUAAGAUUCGUGAAUCCUUAAAAUAAUGAUAACAAGAUAAACAAACAACCAAUUAUGAUAAAUAAAUAAAACCAAAUCAAUUCAUAGAAAUCGUAAUCAUGUUCGUGGGUUUAACCCCAAAAAGGAAGCGUUUAGCCACUACUCGACAUAAUCAUAAUCUAAUUAAUUGAAUCUAUGAUCAUGACCUUCAAUAAACUAAAGUUUAAAUAUUAUAAAACCUAAAAAGAGAGUGCAACCACCUAAAUAUUAUAAAACCUUAAAAAAGAGUGCAGCUGCCUCCUCUCCAAGUCCAAUAUGCUCAAAAUUAUGUAACAUAGCAUGUACGAGUCUGUAAUACCCCGUACUUUUCCUAGCUUGAAAAGUUUCCCAAGAAUGUUAGAAGAUUUUUUUAAAAGAUGAUUCCACUUUUUUAUACAUGGUAUUUUCAAGAUUUUCACUUUUUAUCAUGUGGGAAAUCAAAUAAGAUUUCCAUCGAUACCAAAUUCACCCAAAACUGACACCUGAGUGAAGAGUUAGAACCUUUUUAGCGAGACAGUGUAUCAACUGAGCCUUAAGCGUGUCGCGGAGAUAGCUCAAAUGGAAAUUGUCAAUUUCUAGUGUUUCUCCAUGAUAGUGGCAGGUGGAGCUAAGCUUUCAGGUCGUAGACAAGGUGGCAACGUGAUAGCCCCACAUCGCGCCACCGGGCAAUUUCCCAUUUGUCACUUUCCUGUGACUUUGCGCGAUAGUGGUGCAUCGCACCAAGGAUGAAAAUCAAGAAAUUUUAUUAGAAAUUAAAUAUGUGUCCUAGGGUUAAAAAGGUCAAUUUCCCACCCUAUAUAAGCCUUAUAACACGAGAUUUGGACAUAAUUCAACAACUUAUACUCAAUUACACUUAAAAACUCUCAAGAAAAAGCCCUAGGAUUUUCAUAGAAGGUUCAAUUCCAAGGGAAUUCACCAUCAAAUUUCAAGAAUCUCUCCAUUAAUAUUCGUGGAAUCAUAAGCUAAGGUAUGCGUAGUGUUCAUUCAUGGACUCCUUUCGUCCAUGAAGCCCAAGAAUCUCUUUUCUAAGUUUAUAUCUAUGGUUUUCUUUAUGAAUUUUAUGUUGGGUUUUUUUGUUUAUGUUGAGAAUGAUCAAUUGAAUUCAAAUUCAUGUUGGGUGAUCAAUUUCAUGUGGAAUUGAUUUGUAUAGAUGUAUAUUCAUGUGAACCUAUGAAUAAACCCUAGGAUGAUGAAAUUAGAGAUAAAUCAUGAUGAUUAAUUAUUGUAUAAUGUUGUCUACAUGUGCUAUGCCUACUAUAUGUUUGAUUAAAUGCCUAGAUGAAGGAAAAAUGCCCAACUAGUAAGAUAUCAUGAAAUUCCCAUGUAUGUACAAGCUUAUGCAUAUCACAUGUUUGGUAAAGUGCUUCAAUAUAUGAAUUAUGAAUUAUGUUAUUGGUCAUGUGUUCAAGUAAUCCAUGCUAUGUCAGUUUCUUCUCAUUGAGUCCUGGGGGUACUUGUACCCAAAUAUUUAGCUGUGUGCCAAGAGACAUGUCAUGUUUUCAAGAUUUCCUAAGUUAAGCUAUGAUCAAUAGAACUCAGUCAGUCAUGUGACUCAAGAAAUCUCAGAAAUCUCAGUAGUUCAGUAAUCUCAGUGAUCUCAGUACUUAGUAAUCUCAGUAACCUCAGUAUUCCCAGUCAAUCUCAGUAACUUCAGUAUUCUCAGUCAGUCCUCAGAACUCAGUACAUUCCAUCAGUCAAUGAAACUUAGUAAAUUCAGUUUAGCUCUGUUAAACAAUACCACUAGUAUCAUUUCAGUUUAGCUAAUCAGUUCAGUUCAGUUAAUUAGUUCAGCUCAAUUAAUCAGUUUAGUGUCUUUCAAAUGGGAGUAGGAUUUAGCGCCGAGCGAGCCUAGGGAUGAGAACUCACCUACUAGAUAGGACUGAGAUCCCUAAAAGAAAUCCCUAAGUUCCAGAACUACGUAGCCAGCAUAGGUAUGCGAUCUCACCCGUUAGAUAGGGCUUACAUACUCAAGGAUCACCCAUUAUCAUAUUUAAAUGUAUAGGACUAAUCCCAGGGGUCACCCACUAGAUUAAGACUGACUCCACAACAGUUUUCUUUACCAGUGAUGUAGUACUGACACCCUUCCAGCUGGGGUUACAGGUUGGACCCUAGCUACCUUAGUAUGGGGCAUGUUGGUUAGAUGAAUACUUCCCAUAGUUACAGUUUUCAGUCUCAGUCUCAGCCUUAGUAAACAUACUUAGAUAGUUCUUUAGAUUUUAGGACUGUCAGAUACAGUCAACUCAGAUAUAGAACGAAAAUUAGAUAGUUCCAACAAAUUUAGGACUGUCAGAUACAGUCAUUCAUGCUAUUAGUUAUAUUAGUUAUCAGAACUCAUGUCAUCGAUAUUCAGUUUCAAGACUGUCAGAUACAGUCAACCAGAUAGUUCUUCAUAAUCAGAACUGUCAAAUAUAGUUAUCCAUUUAUCAGUAAUAUAGUGUCAGUCCCUCGAUAUAGAGUAAUACAGUAUCAGUUUCUCACUCAUUAGUGACUCAGAUAUCAAUAUCAGUAGACGCAAUAGUCAAAACUCAGUAUCCAGUCCUAUCAUGAGCUUAGUUAGAGUUACGUGUGCAUGUAUGUAUUUUCACGUUCUUGUUAGUCAGUCAGUUAGUAUUGUUCAUUCAUAUGAACCUAUUGCAUUCGGCCUACCUCACUUGCAUACCUGUACAUUCAAAGUACUGACGUAUUUGUGCUAUAGUGUCUUAUACCAUAGGUUUAGAAGCAUGAAUUCCAGAGAACCAGUAGCAUCCCAGUUCAGCGAUCAGAGUUAGCAGUGAGUCCUCAUCCUUCAAGGACAUAAUGAUCACAUUUCUAUUUUGGUUUUCAGUUUAUUUUAGUAGUUGGAGUUUGUUGGCGAUAUACCCCAUCAACUCCUUAUUCAGACAGUUUAGUGGCUUUCAGACUAUAGUAUGUUUAGAUAAUUUUCUCAGUUAUUUUUGUUUUUUUAUACUAUAUUUUUUAGUUAUGUAUUAGUAUUGAACCUUAUGGCCUUUCAGUUAAUGUUUCUGCAUUUACGAUAUUAUUACUAUUAUUCAGUGAUCAAUUUACAAAUAUCAGUUAUGGGUUAGCUUGUGGUCCUUCGGGGUCAUGGGCACCGUGUAGGAUUCUGGGUGCCAGAUUUGGGGCGUUACAAAGUCCUAUUUAUAGUGGACAACUUUUGCCUUGUAUAAAAUGGACCUCAUGUCGCGUUGGGAAGCAACUAGGGAGUAAAUUCCAUGACACAAGAUGUGGAAAAGAGGAGUGUAGAUCACGACACGAGCUAUUGAAAGGAGGUUUGGUGGUCGAGGCAUGAGAUCAAUGCGAGGCCUUACUGUAAUUUGCUUUCCACGGGUAUUCUUUACUUUAUGCCUUUUCUUUUUAAUUCCAUGCCUUAUGGUAUUGUUUCUACUUUAUUUCCAUCUUGUAUAUCAUCAAUAUAUCCUCAAAAUCAACUCACCAAGAAUUCUACAUGAUCAAAAACCAUGCAUUAGAGUUCAAAACAACAAAACAUCAAGAAUCAUGAACUAGAAACACGCACUAAGACUAGGCUCUCCCACGUUGAUCUUUAGCUUAUUGUUUCAACUCUUGUCCUAAUCUAAUUGAAAUUUUUCACAUUAUAAACAAGUUUUUCCACAAAUAUAUACGCAAUUAAACCAUUUUAAACUCAUUAAACCCGUUAGAAUCCAACGUGAUAGACUUGAACAACACCUAGCUCAAGCUAGUAACACUAGUUUUCUUAUUUGAACUCUAAGUGAUCAAUUUAAAUCCAAACUUGUUUGAGAAUACCUUGACCAUUGUAAACCCACACCUAAACACUUAGAUUUUAAUUUAUAUCAUCAUUCACUACUAAGCAAAUGAAUUUCCCUAAAAAAGGCUAAAUAAGCUAAGAUACUAACACUAAAGUGCAUAAAUACACUCAACAUCAAUUAUCAUUUAGUUUGGCUAUUAUAUUUGAUACUAAUUCAUUUCAUAAAUGGAAAAAUGGUUUUGAAAACAUUGUGGGGUACAAUGGAAUCCCCCAAGUUGAUUUUUAAUAAUGUAGUCUGGGGUACAAGGAUUUCCCAAGGUAAUGGCUUAAUGACAUUUGCUUGUAAUCAAUAGUCCAUAGAACGAUACCACUUAGUGAUGCCUUGAUGUUUAAACCAUUAAUAUAAUGUUUAGGUAAUAUGUUAAAGGUUUUAAUUAGGCUUAAAAGUGGUUGUGUAGCUAGCCGUGAAAGGUGAAGAUUCCGAGGGGACCCACACUAGAAACUCAUAUUUCUCAAUGUGAGGGUUGGUCUUGAUGACCAUGUGCUUAUGUAACACUAUAUAUAUAUAUAUUUGAAUCACGGAUGGUUUAGGGUAAGUAUUCCCUGACUAAUUAUCAUACCUUCUAUUCGUGCAGCUAACACACAUUAGGGCCUUUUCAACAAGGGGAGCUAAACCCAUAUAGACCGUGGGUGUAGAUUUAGGAUGGAUAAUUUACACAGUCUAGGUUAAGGUUUUUAAAGAUCAUUCUAAGACUUAUUCCCUUUUGUGGCUUGUGAUAUAUAUAUAUAUAUCUAUAUAUAUGCAUUGCUCAUGAUAUUAUGCACUAGUUUAAAUGGUUUUUGUAUUAUAGUUCAUGGAAUUAUUUUAUCCUUUAUACCUUAUGUUUCAUGCUAGUGCUCUAUCUGCUAACCGUCUUUAGAUGUUGUAUCCCCACACAAUGUAGGAACAUGCCAUACUUUUUUUCCUCAUGCACAGUGACUAAGUUAUCAUGGGAUAGCUCAUGGUAAGAUUGAAGUGGUGAGCAUCCAUCCUUUGGAAGACCUCAUUUUUUGUUUGGGUUUCCUUAUGUAUGGACUCUCUAUUUUAGAUUCAUGUUUGGAUAUGGUCCUUUUGGUUUUUUAGAGGAUUUGUUGGACAAUACUAUGGAUGUUGGUAUUAUGGUUGGUUAUUGAUAAUGGUUAUUGGUUGGUGGAUGUCGGAUAUUGAUAUAUCAUAGAUUCAUUAAGUUUUCUUAUCAUAUCUUGCUUUAUAUUAAAUUCAUCCACUGCUAGGUGUUCUUGGUUUUGUUGGGUUAGACUAAGUGGGUGGUCUCUGGUCUUCGUUAGACUUGAGAUGCCCAUCAUAGCCAUGCCCUGGCUUAGGUUAUGACAAAGUUGGUAUCAGAGACUAGGUUCAUGGUUGAUUGGGUGUCCACCAAGCCAUUUCAAGUAGGUUCUUUUUUAUGGGUGUGUAGCAUGCCACACUUAUAUAAGAGAGGCAACAAGGCAUUUAGGAAUGUUUCUAUUUCUUUUUUUCUUAUUUUUGGGCUAUAGAGCUUAAGGUCUUAGAUUCCUCUAACUCCCGCUUAUUUUUCUUUGAGAUCAUGCCUCCUAGACUAUCAAAAGCUCAUGUAAACUCAUCUAUCUUGCCUGAGGACAAUGUGGGUGGAUCUCAUCUAACUUUUAGGGUACAAACCCAGUCAAGGAUUACUUCUUCUGAUUUGCCCCAUUGAGUUUGACUUGUCUCCACUGAUCCUUCUCCAGUCGGUGAUACUCGUACUCAAUCACCUCAGGGAGAUAUUACUAAUAAUAAGUUUUGCUAGUCUAUUUAUCUAUUAACGCAGUAUAUGACAUCUCAGUCACGUCAAAUGUGUUCUGCUGGUAUUAUUGUGAGUUCAUCUAAGGCCACUAGAGUUGUCUAGUUAUGAGGUUGAUCCCUCUAUCUUUCGCUGGUACUAAGGUUGAGGAGGAUCCUUAAGUAUUUAUACACGAGAUAGAGAAAAUCUCCAAAGUUAUGCAUACCACAGAUAUAGAGGGUGUGAAUUUUGCUACUCAUCAGUUGAAGGAUGUAUCGUACCAAUGAUAAAAGAGUAGUAGAAACUUAGGGGUGAUGAUGCUAAGUAUACUUUGUGGGAAGAUUUGUCUAGUGUGUUUCUUAAUCACUUCUUUCCUCAGGAGUUGAGGGAGGAAAAAGCUAAGAAGUUUGUGAACUUUAAGCAAGGCAGGAUGAUGCUAAAGGAAUAUUCCUUUAUGUUCCAUUAGUUUUCACAAUAUGAUCCUGAGCUAGUGUCUAGCAUAAGGAAUAGAAUGUGGAAAUUUGCUUCUGAUAUGUCUCAUGAAUUGAUUUUGGAGAGCAAGGCUGCCUUGUUGAACCAGGAUAUAGAUAUCUCUUAAUUGGUAGUGUAUAUUCAAUAGAUUGAAGAGGAAAAAAAGAAGAAAACAGAGGUGGGGGCGAGGCAGAACAAGAUGUUUUAGCAUUUGGAUCAGGAUGGAGGUCAGUAACAGAGUGGUAGAGAUAGUGGGAAAUGGUCUAAAAAGAAGUAGGGCAACUCUGGAUCCUAUUUACUGGCUAGUGCACCUUAUCUAAAGCCAUUUGGAGAUCAUCGUUUAUAGAGUGGUGAUAGUUCUAGGGCGCAGGAUGCCCAAUCUCAGGUCAGUAGGUCCCAUUAAUCUCCAUCAUAUCCUCUUUCCAGACUUUGUGGUAGGUUGUAUUAUGGUUUCUAUGAUGAGGGAAGGAAUCGAUGUUUCAAGUGUAGCCAGCCGGGACAUGUGCUGAAGGAUUUCCCUAUGGGGAAGGUUGCUACGGAGGUUAAUAAGAUUUUGGUUGCUACCUCAUCAGCUGCUGGCCCAAGAGGUGCCACUUUUAGUAUCGACAUUGGUCGUAAUUGCCUAUAGGAUCUUGCUACCUAUCAAGAGUUUGAGGCAUCUCUUGAUGACGUCACUGGUAUGUUAAAGCUCUUGUCCUAUGAUGUGUACUAUUUACUUGAUCUAGGGUCUACGUUUUUAUUUGUGACCCCAUUUAUGGCUGUGCAUUUUGAUUUUGGUCUCUAGUGUAUUUCAAACCCCUUUUUUAUUUUUAUCAUAGUGGGUGAGUCGAAGGUUGUUAAGAGGGUCUACAAGGGUUGAGUGGUAUCUGUUGAUGGUAGGUAAACUUUAGUGGAUUUGAUUAAAUUAGACGUGCUAGAUUUUGAUGUUCUCUUGGGAAUGGAUUGGUUGUAUUCGUACUAUGCCUCUUUAGACUAUUAGACCGAUAGGGUUGUCUUAAAAUUCCCUAAUGAAUUAGUUAAUGAGUGGGAAAGGACUCCCUAGUGCCUAAGGGAAGGUUUAUAUCAUAUCAUAGAGCCCAAAAAUUUAUUUCUGAGGGGUGUCCUUAUCAUUUGGUCUAAGUUAAAGAUUCUAUCUCGAAAGGUCCUUCUCUACAAUAAAUUCCCAUGGUUAGUAAAUUUCCCAAGGUUUUCCUUGAUGAUCUUAUGGAUGUCUCUCCCAAUAGGGAAAUUGAGUUUGGGAACGAUCUUCUUCCGAAAACUUGUCCUAGAUCUAUUUUUCCUUAUCGAAUGGCUCCAGCUGAGUUGAAAAAACUUAAGGGGCAAUUGAAAGAUCUUCUUGACAAGGGUUUUAUCUUUCCUUGUGUAUCUUUGUGGGGUGCUCCCAUUCUUCAUGCGUAAGAAGGAUGGUUCUCUUUAGAUGUGUAUUGAUUACCUCCAAUUAAAUAAGUCAAUGGUGAAGAAUAAGUACCCUCUUCCUAGGAUUGAUGACCUAUUUGACCAACUUCAGGGUGCUAAGUAUUUCUUGAAGAUUGACGUUCGAUCGGAUUAUCAUCAGUUAAAGAUUAGGGAGGAAGUUAUCCCUUAGAUUGCUUUCCAUACCUGGUAUGGAUAUUUUGGGUUCUUAGUCUUGUCUUUUGGGUUGACCAAUGCCUCAGCAACAUUUAUAGAUCUCAUGAAUUGGGUAUUCCAUCAGUUUUAGACUUAUUUGUGAUUGUGUUUAUUGAUGAUAUUUUGGUAUAUUUGAAGAGCGACAUGGAUAUUGACAAUCACCUCUGUAUUGUGUUGUAGGCCCUAAAAGAUCAGCAUUUGUAUGCUAAGUUUUCAAAGUGUGAAUUUUGGUUGAAUGCUCUUACUUUUCUGGGUAAUUUUGGUUUUAGUGAAAGGUUCACGGUGGAUCCACAACAAGUUCUGGUGGUUAAGAAGUGGACUAGACCUAUGACUCCAACUAAUAUUCGGAGCUUCUUUGAUUUAGCUAGUUAUUAUAAGAGGUAGUGGAGAGCUUUUCAUAAAUUGUCACACCUUUGACCAAGUUGACUAAAAAAAGGUGAAGUUCUUGUGGUCUGAUGCUUGUGAGGGGAAUUUUGAGAUGCUAAAAGAUAAAUUGAAUUCUGCUCCAAUUUUUACCCUGCCCAAGGGUAUUAAUUGCUUCGUGAUUUAUUGUGAUAUGUCCUUUUUAGAUCUUGGUUGUGUGUUAAUAUGACAUGGCAAGGUGGUUGCACAUGCUUCUAGGCAGUUUAAAGUUGAUUAGAGGAAUUAUCCGACUUAUGAUUUGGAUUUGCUGGCUGUGAUGUUCGCAUUAAAGAAUAUGGGGUCCAUGCUGACAUUUAUUCAGAUCAUAAGAGCCUGCAAUACGUAUUCACCCAGAAGGAGUUGUAUCUCAUGCAAAGGAGAUGGCUUGAGUUUUUCAAAGACUAUGACAUGAGUAUCUACUAUCACCUAGGUAAGCUAAUGUGGUUGCUGAUGCUUUUAGCAGGUUAUCUAUGGGGAUUUUAUUCCAUGUGGAUUAAUAGAAUCUACACUUGGUGAAAGAUAUUCACCAUUUGGAUAAUCUUGGAGUUCGACUCUUAGAUUCUAAGGGAUUCUAAGGAUGGUGGUGUGUUUGUGCAAGAGGUGACAAGGUCAUUUCUUAGAAUUGAGGUAAAAGAGAAAUAGGUGUUGGAUCCUACCUUGAUGCAAAUCAAGGAUGAUGUAGGUAGGCAUGUGGUGAUGGCUUUUGAGGUUGUUGGUGAUAGUAUCUUGAACUAUCAAUGGAGUGUGAGUGUUCUUGAUGUGGAUGGUCUAUGAGGUAGAAUUUUUGCUGAAGCUCAUGAGUCGCAUUUUUCAGUUAGUCCUGGUUCGACAAAGAUGUAUCAUAACCACAAGGAGAUUUAUUAGUGGAAUAACAUAAUGAAGCGUGUGGCUAAUUUUGUUGCUAAGUGCAUGGAGUGUCAAAAAGUAAAGGUGGAGCACUAAUUAUUCUAUUGGGUCAUCGACGAAAGGAUGACUAAGUCUUCUUACUUCUUGCUGAUGUAUCAGCUUUUGAUGGAGCAUUUUGCAUUUUAUUCUUGGGAAAAUUUCAUGUUUUUAAGCAACCAAUGUUGCAUUUAAUGUUGGGUUUUAGUGUUUCAGGAUAAGGAGCUAGAUGAAGGAAAAAACUCAAUAAAUUAGCAGAAAAAUACUUCUGACUGUCAAAAUGGUGGACAAUCAAUCUUUCGACGGAUCACCAACUUAACCGUCAGGCCCAAACAGAACCCAUGUCUUUAGAAGACUCAACACGACCCAUAUGGUGGACCAUCAGUCUUGCGAUGGACCACCACUUUGGUUUUCACUACUUAGAUGAACCUGCCUUUCCAAGAUCAUUAGUGAUGGACCAUAUGGUGGACCAUCAGUCUUGCGAUGGACCACCACUUUCGCCGUCAGUGUCAAGUAGAACCUGCCUCUCCAGGAUCAUCAACGAUAGCCUAUAUGGUGGACCGUCAGUCUUCGAUGGCCCACCACUUUGGCCGUCAGUGCCAAGCAGAACUGGGCUUUCAAGGACCAUCAGCGACGGCUAAUUUGGUGGACCGUCAGACUUCCGAUGGACCACCACUUUGCCGUCACUUUGGAUGCAGUUUUUGUAAUUUUGAAUUUUAAUUCCUUUUUACCUGGGAACAUAUGAGUACCUAGUUUUAGGUUUUAUUAGGCAUCUUUGAUCCAUCUUUUAUCGUUUAUUAGGGUUUUUCCAUACUUGAAACAUAUUGUACAUAGUUUUCCUGUGAGACUCAUUUGAGAAUUGUGGAUCUAUAUUCCUUUAUCAUAUCUUCUAUUGAAGAUUGAAGUGCAAUAAUUGUGACUGUUGUAAGUAAAUUCUAAAUUAAUUUAUGAAUAUCACAAUGAUUUCUUUUUUUUCUAUGAUGGAGAUGUGUGGCUAAACUCCCAUAACUAGGGUUAUGGGAGCUUUGAUGUGAAUAGUUGAUUGGGAGUUGUGAAUCUAGUAGAUUCCCAUGAUUAAUUGAUAUUACAUAAACCCUUCUUCACUUUAACAAAUUUUCUUGGUUGCAAACCUGAAAAGUGAGUCCAAGAACAACACUUGUUAGAAUAGAAAAAUAUUUGUUGGGAAAAGAAAGGGUUUACAUAAAUCUAAACGCCUUAACCUUUGGAUAGAGGGUAGAUUCCUUAACCGAAUCAAUCCAUGUAAGAAUAUAGUUGAAUAAAUAAUUUUUUCCUUAAGUUUGAAAGAAUUAAGGGAUAAGCUACUUAUUUAGGAUGAGAAACUAAUGGGUAAACCAUAGAAUUCAAUUAAUCUUUCAAUUAGAAUUGUUCAUUGGGAAUUCAAAAUAGUUCACAACCCUAGAUACUUAAGAAUCUUGGUUACCAUAACUCUGUUUGACUACUCUUACUGAAUUACUAUUUUCAAUACAAUCUAUAGGAAGUAGCUCAUACGGGAUGAAGUAUAUUCUAGUUGCUGUUGAUUAUGUAUCAAAAUAGGUUGAAGCCAUUGAUUUGGAUGACAACAAAGGGAAGAGAGUAGUUGCAUUCCUUAAAAGGAUCAUUUUCUCUCGUUUUGGGGUGACACACACCAUUAUAAGUGAUAGUGGAUCUCAUUUUAGCAAUCGUGUGUUUUGAUCUGCCCUAGCAAAGUAUGGUGUCAAGCAACACAAUGUAGAAACUCCAUACCACCCACAGACUAGCGGGCAAGUGGAGACUUCGAAUAGAGAGAUCAAAGCCGUACUUUCUAAAAAAAGUGAAUACUAGUAGACAAGACUGUUCUAUGAAGUUUGAUGAUUCCUUAUGGGCAUACAUAACAACUUUCAAGACACCAAUCAACAUGUCAUCGUACCAGUUGUUUUAUGGCAAGGCAUGUCAUUUUCCAAUUGAAUUGGAGCAUAAGGUGUUGUGGGAACUUAGGAGGCUAAAUUUGAACUAAUAAAAGGCAGCGCAAUUGAGAUUAGGAUAGCUGAAUGAGAUGGAUGAGUUUUGUCUCGGGGUGUAUAAAAGAGAUGAUCUAUACAAGGAGAAGAUGAAGAAGUACCAUGUACGUAGGAUUGAAAAGCGGGAUUUCCAGAAAGGUGACUUGGUGCACCUGUGCAACUCUAGACUUAAAACUUUUUCCAGGUAAGCUCAGGUUCAAAUGUUCUGGCCCAUUUAAAGUAAAUCAAGUCUACUCAUUUGAAGUAGUGGAGCUUGAAAAUGAAGACGGAAGUGUCUUCAAAGUUAAUGGGCAGCGUGUGAAACUGUAUAUCAGUCCAAUGGACUCAAUAAAAAGUAUUGCUAUUAUCUAUCUCGAUGAAGUCUGAGAAAUUAAGAUAACUAAGUUGUGCCUCGAUGAUAAAUCAUGCGCUAGUGGGAGGUAACCAACAGUGUGUUAUUAUAAAGCAUUAGUUAAAUUAUUUUAAUGUUUUAGCGCAUUUUUGAUGUGUUUGUGAAGUGUGUAGGAUAAAAAAUGCAACAAAAAGGAGUGUUACAAUUGGAAAAAGGGGUGAAAAUCUGAGCUCCUGGAACAAAAGUGAUGACCAAUUUUGUGGAACACCAAUCACCUGACGGACCACCAUUUCCACCAUUGCAAAGAUGCUGAAAAAAUCAUUCACUGGAUCAAGUUGAUGGUCAAAAUAGUGGACCAUCACAAAUUUGGUGGACUGCCACAUAGACCGUCAAAAUCAAGUUGGAUGGCCUAUGGUUCUGGUAAGGUGCGACGGCCAACGUGGUGGAUUAUCACAAAUUUGGUAGACCACCAGAUUGACCAUCAAAAUUAAGAUGAAUUUACCAUGUUCUGGUAAGGAGUGACGGCCCAUAUAGUGGUCCAUCGCAUUUCCGAUGGACCGUCGUAGCAUCUAUCGCUAUUACUCUAGUACCAGUCAGGUCGGUUUAAAAUUGAUGUUUAUUUAAGUGAUCCAGACCUGGGCCAAAUGUUUUUAAAGAUAUAAAAGGACAAGUUACAUAUGUUGUAACCUUUUUAACAUCUUCAACUGAUCAAAUCUCUUUGGACUAAAAGAAUUUGAAGACAUUUGCUCUUCCUAGGACUCCACAUCUCCUUCAUUUUUCCCUAUUUAAGCAAACCCACCAUUUUCUUUAUCUUUAUCUUAGACAUUCGUGAAAGUAGUUACUUGAGUUUUAAUUUAAUUCUGUUGUAAGCAAGUGAGAGAGAAGCUACUAAACCAAGGUAUGAGCAUAACCAUGUUCUUCUCUUUUUGAAUUCCAGCAACAUAAAAUGAAUAAUUGGUUUGUUGAUAAAAGUUCAUCUUGUUUUUAUUCUUUUGUUUUAACUUUCUUUGAGUCUGGAACUAUAAUAUAUACUAUGUGGGUGAAGUUUGAGUAACCCAUUUGCUCAAAAGUGGGAAAUUUCAUGCAUUAAUGUGAAGUGUGUGUAAAUUUGUUGCUAAAAAAUGAUGUUGUUCAGCAAAUGCGCGACUAAAUGCCAAAAUAAAAGUCUAAUAUAGAGAAGGGGGUGGGACGAUCAAAAUGGUGGACCACCAGUACUGCGACGGACCACCAUAUAGACUAUUGCAAGGACCCCAGAUAUGACACCCACUGGAUAAGAUAUGAUGUCCAAAAUAAUGGACCAUCAGUCUUACGACGGACCACCAUAUGGACUAUCGCAAUAUUUUGAAAUUUUAGGUCUUCUAGAUAGGACCUAACGGCCCACCUAGUGGACCACCAGUUACCUGACGGACCACCAAUAUGGCCGUCAAGUCAAUAUUUACACUGUUUAGGCUAUUUUUGUGCUGUGAACUAAUUCUUUACAUCUUUUUCAAGCGUUACGGAUCACAAACUCCCAUCAAAUAGAGGAGGAAGAUCUCAAAGGGGUUGAUGCAAAUUUUUACUCGCGUACAACACCAGACAACGUGAAAGAGAAAAUCCUACACUCUCUCAGUCUGAAGAGGAGAGCGAUAGUAGUACAAGAAGUUCUUGCUCAAGCCUAGAUAAGGCCAUGGUUUCUACAAAUCAACCCAAGCAUAUUGAGGGUGAAACUAAGGCUGCUAACAUGGGAGAAAAAAUAGAAGAGAAUGAUGUAGAUACCGAACCUAAGAAUGCUAAUGUUAUCAAGCAUAAGGAUCCACAAGUUUGAGAGGUUAUUAGAUGGCAGAUAGAAGAAGAAAGAGAUAAAUUCUAUGAUGGACUGACACCUACAGCAAGAGGGAUAAAAAGUCCAUUUGUAGAGAAACAUUAGAUUGUCACAACAGGAUUACAUGAAUAUCCUAAGGUGGAAUGCCAUUUCAAUGAGUAUGAACUAGCAUGGAUGAGCAGGCCACCAGGAUUAUAUCAAACGAAUUUAGUAAGAGAAUUUUUUGCCAGUUAUCUUGGAUUAGUAGAGAUAGACUGUCCAAAGGGGUCGUCAAUUACAAAUUUUCCGAAUAGAGAGUCAAUACCCAUUUAAGAAGUCACUAUUGAUAUUUCUGCACAAACAAUCAAUAGGAUGUUGUUCGGGCUAGAGUACGAGGCUCUACCUGCUAUCCCUAAUCUUGAGUAUAGGUUGAGAACUGCAUCUACUCAGAGGCCUUGGGUGGAUUCAUUAUUGACUGAUGAAGGUAACCUCUCGUGGUUGACCAAUCCAUGGGAGUGUAUUGCAAAAUAUUCAAUUAGCUUCAAGACUAAGUUCUAGUGGGCUGUAGUUCGCUUAAGGCUGAUGCCAACAAAAGGUGAUGGAAAUUUGGAUAAACAUAGCGAUGUAUUGGUGGAAAGCUUGGUUUCAGGGCUGCAGGUUGAAUUUGGCUAGAUUAUUAUGGAUGAGAUGUUUGUAAGGGAACAUAGAACCGCCAGUGCAUUGCCAUUCCCAUGCUUAAUCACAGAGGUGUGUAGGCAAGCAGGUAUGCCUCUGAUUCAUGGAGUUGACAACUCAGUCCAGGAUAUACAUAGAUAAGACAUUGAGAAGUCAAAGCUGACUUAAAAUUAGAGAUACGUGUCACCAAGCCUCUAACUUACCAGACUCAAUCUGCACCAACUCCUGAGGCUAUCAAAAUUCCUGCAGGUAUGCCUUUUCCCAUCACCACUUAUGUGCCACCUAAGUAUAUACCUCCAAGUACAUCUGUAGGGUUAGGUUCAGCACCAUGUAUGGGUAGAGCAGACUUUGUUGAAUACAGAUUAACUUAAAAAAACUUUGCAAAAUCAGUAAAAAUGCAAAAGAGGUUUAAAAAAUAGCUAGCUAAAUGGGCAUCAGAAUUCAAGCCUUUUGUUGAUGGAAUUAUAGCUGAGGUAAUACUUCCAUUCCAAACUAUUCAGGUGAGGAUGGACAAUAUGUAACACCGUAUUAACAAAAGGCUAGAUGCACUAUUUCUCCCUGAUCUUGCUAAGAUCAUGGCUGAAUUUAAGCAGAAAAAGGUUGUUAUAGUAGAGUUAAAGGAAAGGCAGCCACAACAACCUAUUUUUGACCCAUCCUUAGUGGUGAGUAAAGAUAAUGAAGAUAUUGUGGAUCUAAUAGAAAGACCUAUGAAAGAUAAAGGAAAGUAGCACAUAGAUGGGCAAGCUACAAGGAAGGAAAAAAAGAGGAGAAAGAGAGCAGCGAUGACCCCAGAGUAACAAAAACAGUAUGAUAUGAGAAGAGCUUGGAAGAAAUCAAGUAGAUAUGAAUAAAAAAGAAAGAAAAAAAAAUAUGAAGCAAUAAGAGUAUCUACUAGUGCUGCCCCAGCAAGGGGGCCAAGUUCAGACACAAUUUGGAAGAUGAUUCCUUCGGUCUUUGGGGGUGAGGUUUUGAGUGCCCCUACAAUCAUAGGGGCCAAUAUUGCACCAGUUUAGGAUGCAAGAGCCUCACCACACUUCACAGAUGCCUCAGAUGAAUAAGAGGUAAUAUAAGUAUACCUAUUUCUUUGUACUUUAAUUUAAUGCUUUAAGGACAAUGCAUAUAUUUUUUAUGUUAGGGUGGUGUACUUAUACCAUGGGGGGAGGGGGUUGUAUUGCCAAUAUUAUAAACCUACCGUGUCCUAUCUAGGAAGAUCGGCAUAUCUAGAAGCAUGUUAAGUUCACAUUUUUCUUUUCUAGGUUUAACUUCAUAUUUGCAUUUUUAUUAUUUUUAAUUCUUGUUAUAUUGUUAAGGUUGGUCCAUGAAAUAAAAGUGUUGUUUGUGUUAGUAUCUUGUAUUGAAUACAGAUGAUGAAUGAUGUGUUAUCAAGCUAUGACUUUUCCAUUUGACUGUUUACUUUUGUCCCUUAGGAUAUGAGAUUAAAUGUUAGCGAAUCUAUAAGUGGCAUUAAUAUAUAAAUAUAUAAGACAUGUGAUACAAAUAUUAAGAAUAGUAGAAUGAGUUUGAAUCAGUUGCCACCGUGUGUGAGAGUAUUUGUAUUAGUUCUUACAUAGUAUAGUACCUAGAACUUGCCUGGUUUGAUUGACGUUGUUUUGUUGUUGAUGAGAUAAAAAGGGAUGGGCGGCCACCUUGUUCUUUCAAUCCACUUAGCAAAAGUAAUUAACCCCAACAAAAAUAAUUUUCCAUUUUCAAACUCCUCUUUGAGCCUUUGUUAAUUUUUCUUCAUCACCAAGCAUGCUAGUUAACUCUCUUUAAACUGUUGACACCUAGCUUUGGCCCUGGACUAAUGGUAGGCAAUGUGUACCUAUACUUAGGCAAAACUCCUAAGUUGAGGGUAGAUAUUAUAGGGCAGUUAACUGUCUAAUGGAAAGUUGUCCUAGAAUUUAAACUAGAGUAUUUAGCCCUAGUCUGUUCAAGAUAAUGUACACCUUGACUUAUUGCAUCAGUGUAAGUUGAGGGUGGCUGAUGCUUGUGUAUGUAAAUAUAUAUCUAUCUAUAUAUCUAUCCAUUUAUAUAAGGGGUUUUAUUAUGGUAAAGCAUGAAUAAAUAAGAAGAGGGUAAGCGAGCUAGAAAAGCAAUGACCUUAGUAAGAAAAAUUUGAAGGAAAAGGGAGUUAAAGCCUAGCACUUAGUCACUUUUUCCCAAAAUUCCUUCCUGGCCUAGCCUAAUACCUCAUUACUAGCCUAGAAAAGACCUGCUUGAUCUUGGAACUCAGCUAUGAGGGGGAAUUUGAUAAUAAAGGCAAGCUUAUGGGUGCAUGCACUAUGUUUGUAACUUAUUUGAUGAGUGAGAGGGUUUUGAUUUAUAUCUACAAAAUAUAUUCAGUGGUGGAUCUCCUAGACUGUGAGGGCAACCUGAGUUAUACUUAACUUGGCUGAUUUCUGUAGAUUCUUGUAUCUAUGUUUGUAUAGAUGGAUUGAAUUUGAAGUAAUGUUGGUUAUAGACUCUAACAUGUUAAACCGUAUGAUUUGAUGAUAAGUGAAUGGUUCGAUGAAAAUUGGUUCAGUAAUAAAUACCCAUCAUUAUAUUGUUCAUAUUUGUAAUUUGGUGCUGAGUUGCUUGAGGACAAGCAGUUAUCUUAAGUUAAGGGUGUUGAUGUUCUGGCUUUUGAGGAACAUUUUGCAUCUUUUUCUUGGGAAAAUUGUAUGUUUUUAAUAAACCAAGGUUGUAUUUAAUGCUGGGUUUUAGUGUUCCAGGAGAAGGAGCUAGCGAAAGGAAAACACUUAAAAAAUUAGCAGAAAAAUACUUCUGACAGUUAAAAUGGUGGACCAUCAGUAUUGCAAUGGACCACCAACUCAACUAUCAGGUCCAAAUAGAACCCAUGUCUAAACUCAGCGACAACCCUUAUGGUGGACCGUCUGUCUUGCAAUGGCCCACAACUUUGGCUGUCACUGCUAAGAAGAACCAGCCUCUCCAAGAUUAGCAGUGAUGGACCAUAUGGUGGACUGCCAGUCUUGUGAUAGACCACCACUUUGGCCGUCAUUGUCAAGAAGAACUUGCCUCUCCAGGAUCAUCAGCAAUGGCCCAUAUAGUGGACUAUCAGUCUUGCGAUGUCAUACCACUUUUGUUGUCAGUGCCAAGAAGAACUAGAUUUGUAAGGGCCAUCAGUGAUGGCAAAUUUAGUGGACCAUCAAACUUUCGAUUGACCACCACUUUGGCCAUCAGUUUGGAUGCAGUUUUUGUAAUUUUGAAACUUAAAUCCUUUUUACCUGGGUAUAAAUACCCAGGUUUAGGUUUUAUUAGGCAUCUUUGAUCUAUCUUUUAUCUUUUAUUAGCGUUUUUCAUACUUGAAACAUAUUGUACGUAGUUUUUCUCUGAGAUUCAUUUGAGAAUUGUGGUUCUAGAUUCCUUUGUCAUAUUUUUUAUUGAAUAUUGAAGAGCAAUAACUGUGCUUUUUGUACGUAAAUUCUAAAUUAAUUUAUGAAUAUCACAAUGAUUUCUUCUCUUUCUAUAAUGGAGAUGUGUGGCUAAGCUCCCAUAACUAGGGUUAUGGGAGCCUUGAUUGGAAUAGCUAAUUGGGGGUUGUGAAUCUAGUAGAUUCCCAUGAUUAAUUGAUAUUGCAUAAACCCUUCUUCAAUUUAAUGACUUUUCUUUGUUGUAAAUUUGAAAAGUGAGCCCAAGAAUAACACUUGUUCGAAUAGAAAAAUGUUUGUUGGGAAAAGAAAGUGUUUACAUAAAUCUAAAGGCCUUAACCAUUGUAUAGAGGGUAGAUGCCUUAACCGGAUCAACUCAUGUGAGAAUAUAGUUGAAUAAAUAAUAUGUUCCUUAAGGUUGGAAGAAUUAAGGGAUAAGCUACUCAUUUAGGUUGAGAAACUAAUGGGUAAACCAUAGAAUUCAAUUAAUCUUGCUAUUAGAAUUGUUCAUUGGGAAUUCAAAAUAGUUCACAAACCUAGGUUCUUAAGCAUUUUGGUAACUGUAACUCUAGUUUGACUACUCUUACUAAAUUACUAUUUACAAUACAAUCUACAGUCUGAUUAAUUUUUUUGACAAGCAUUUGAAUAUAAUUGAUAUAUCAAAACCCCCUUUUGUUCUAGAACCUUUUAUCAACAGUGUAAUAACAACCACAAUCCUUAGUAAACACAGUAUUCCCUAUGGGAUUCGACACCCAACCCCAUUGGGUUUUAUAUUUGACAGUGACAGCUUACACUUUUUGAUGAGAGUUAUAAUUUGGGAAUAUCACUUCCUAGUGAGGACUAAUUAUUUUUCCAAGGACUAUGCAAGGCUAUUUAUUCAGGAGAUCAUAAAGCUUUAUCGUGCUUCGGUUUUAUCAUUUCAGAUUAUGAUAUUUAGUUUGUAUCUCAUUUUUGAUGGUCGUUCUAGCAAAUUUUUUGGACUAAGGUGAACCUUAGAACAACUUUCCAACAAUAGAAGGAUGGACAAUUAGAAAGGACCAUUAAUACUUUGGAAGAUAUGCUUUGGUCUUUUGUAAUUGACUUUGAUGGUCGAUGGGUUGAUCCUUUUCCUUUAUAGAGUUUAUGUACAAUAAUAGCUAUCACUUUAGCAUUAAUAUGGAUCUGUUUAAGGCAUUGUAUAGUAGGACGUGUAGAUCUCCUAUUAGGUGGUUUGAAGUUGGUGAGGAAAAGUUAUUCGGUCCUAAUUUAGUUCAUCAAGAUAUGGAGAAGGUAAAUGUGAUGUGGGAUAGGCUAAAGACUGCCUAAAGUCACCAAAAGUACUAUGCAGAUGUGAGGUAGAAGUUUGAUGUGGGUGAUGGGUAAUCAUGAAGUUGUCUCCCGUGAAGGGAGUGAUGCAAUUUGGAAAGAAGGGGAGGCUCAGUCCCUAUUAUAUUGGCCCUUAUUGAUUUUGAAGAGAGUGGGGAAUGUUUUCUUUGCACUAGAAUUUCCUGUAAUUUUGUGUUCUAUUCGCCUUAUUUUUUAUGUGUCUAUGUUGAAGAAGUACGUAGGUGAUCCUUCCUUAGUGGUGCCUAUUGAGAGUGUAGGUAUUUUAAAUUCUCUGUCAUACGAGAAGGCCCAGAUGGAGAUCUUGGAUAGACAAGUUCAUAGGUUGAGGACUAAAUAUGUAGCUUUAGUAAAGGUCUUUUGGAAGAACCAUAAUGGGGAAGAAGCCACUUGGGAAGUGGAGGAAGUUAAGAAAGCUAAGUACCCAUUCUACCCUCAAAAUUUUGGGCAUUUAUUUUUGGACAUCCCGUGUUUGAAGUGCCUAUUUUUGACAUAAAUUAUGUUUAGGCAUAUGAAUGGGGUAUCCCAGGAGAGUUUUAGAAUUUUUGGAUGGGGUUUGGGGUGGUUUUGACCUUGGAGGUAGUGAGCCUCUGUGAUAUCCCUGUGUCACAGAGGCUACACUCCGCGAUAACCAGUGUGACAUGGAGGGUAGUCUCCUUGUUUAGCAAUGUACAUAGAUGUUAGCCUUCGCGAUAAGUUUUAUGCCACGCCACUAUGUAAAUGUCAUGAUAUUUUUGUUUUAUUUAAAUGGGAUGAGGGGGUAUUGGGGUCUUUUCAACUAUGAAUGACUUUUAAAUAUUAUACGAACCUAUUUUUAUCAAUUUUCAUGACACAAAAGCUAUUAUUUCACUCUAAAAUGCAAAACCCCAAGAUAGUAUAAGGGUUUCAUCAUAGGUUCAUCUUUCAGAUUUCAAGCUACGAAUUACUUUCCAAUUCUCGUAUGUCUAAGGCAUGCACCUCUUUCCAAAAAAAAAUUUCCCUAUACUUUUUUUAGUAAUGGCAUAAAUUGGUUUAUUAUUCAUGGUUUUGAAGUUGGCCUUUGAACUAUGGGUUGAGAGUUUUGGAUAUAAAUUAUUUGAUUUUUUCCCAUGGUUUAUAUUAAUUUAUUAUGCAUGAAUUGUUGGUUUGUGAACCCAUUGGGGUGCAUAGGAAUCAUGAAUGAGUUUAAGGGUACAAUGAAUUCCCCAAAUAAUUAGUUUUUGUAUGGAAAUUGAUAAUUACCUCGACCCACUUGCAUAAUUGGUUAUGGAAUUUGAAUUACAUUUGGUUUGGCUAUUCUCUUUAAAACUAAUGCAUUGCAUAAAUGACAAAAUUGUUAAGGAUGGUUGUGAAAACAUUAUGGUGUACAAUAGAAUUCCCUAAUUUGAUUUUUAAUAAUGGAGUUUAGGGUACAAGGAUUUUGUAUGGUAUAGCUUAAUGACAUUUUCUUGCAUGCUAUAGUCGGUAUGACGAUACUACUUAAUGAUGCCUUAAUCAUUGAGUCCUUAAUUUAAUGGUUGGAUUAUAUGUUAAAUGUUUUAAUUGGGAGUAAAUAGGGUUGUGUAACUAGCUGUGGAUGGUGUAGGUUUUGAAUAAACCAAUAAUGGAAACUCACGUUUGCCAAUGUAAGGGUUGGUCUUGAUGACCGUGUGCUUAUAUCAUAAUAUAUAUAUUUGUAUCAUAGAUGGUGAAGUGAAAGGAUUCCUCAGAGUUCUAUGGUACCUCCAGUUCAUGCGCCUAACAUGCAUUGGGGCCCUUUCAGUAGGGAAGAUGAACCCAUAUAGCCUGUGUGUGUGAGUUUACGAUAGUCCAAGUUAAGGUUUUUAAACAUCAUGCUAAGCCUUGUUCCCUUUCCCGAUACGUUAUAUAUAUAUAUAUGUAUUGCAUAUGAUGUGGUCUGCUAGUUUUAAUGGUUUCUGUAUUAUUUUUCUUGACAUUAUUUUAUCCUUUAUCCCUGAGUUAUAUGAUAGAUCUCUAAUCCUUAGCCAUCUUUAGACACUGUAUCCCUAUGCAAUGCAGGAACUGGCCAUACUUUUAUUCCUCCUGCAUAGUAAGUAGGUGAUCUUGGGAUAGCUAAUGAGUCAGAAUGAAGUGGUGAGCUUCCAUCCUUUGGAAGACCCCAUUUCAUGAUUGGUUUUCCUUAUGUGUUGACUCUCUCUUUUGGAUUUAUUUUUGGCUAUAGUCGGGGGCAUGUCCCGACUAGACUAUCUUUAGUUUUGUUAAAGUCUUUGUUGGAUAUUACUGUGCACAUGGUAUUAUGGUUGGUUAUUGGUAGUGGUUAUUAGUUGGUGGAUGUUAGACAUUAAUCUAUUAUAAAUUCAUUGAGUUUUCUUAUCAUAUAUUACUUUAUGUCAAAUUCAUCUGAUGCUAGGUGUUCUUGAUUCUGUUGGAUUAGAAUAAAGGGGUGGUGUCCGAUCCCAGUGGACUUAAGAUGUUUUUCAUGGCUAGGCCCUUCUUUAGGCUGUGACAAGUUUACUCUAAGAGAAAAAAAGAGCAUAAAACUCAUUUGUGUACAGAAUUGGGGUUUCUUAAGAAGAAGCAACUAUAUGCUAAAUAUUCUAAGUAUGAGUUGUCUAUCUUUACUAUCUUUCUUGGAGAAGAUAGUUUCAAAGAAAAGGGUUAUGGUAGUAGACCCACAGAAGGUUAAAGCUAUGGUGAUCUUGGUAGGCUAAUGAAUAUGACUAAAAAUUAUAGUUUUAUGGGAUUGGCUAGUUAUUAUCGUCAGUUCAUUAAGCGGUUUACUGCCAUUAUUUCAUAUAUGACCCAUCUUACUCAGAGGAAGUUCCAUUUAUGUGAGAUGACAAAUGUGAGGAGAGCUUCCAAAAGCUCAGCACUUUGUUAACCCUGACUCUAAUUCUCACAUUGCCUAUUGAAGGUAAGGAUUUUAUUUUGUAUUGUGAUACCUCAUGAUAGGGUUUAGGUGUUAUCUUGAUAUAGGAUUAGAAUUCGAUUGCUUAUGCCUUAAGAAAAUUAAAGCCUUAUGAGAUAAAAUACCCCACACGUGACUUGGAAUUGAUGGUUGUGGUCUACUCUUUGAUAAUUUAGAGACAUCCUUUAUAGGGUGAAGUUUGAAGUAUUCAUUGACCACCAUAGCUUACAACAUAUGUUUACCUAGAGGGACAUAAACCUAAGAUAGAGAAAGUGGAUGGAGUUUAUCAAUGACUAUGACAUCUCAAUUUUCUAUCAUCUGGAUAAGUCAAAUAUGGGGGAAGACAUAUUGAGCUGGAAGUUUAGUAUGUAUGGAGUUUUCAAAAUGCCCAUUAGUGAGAGGGUUACAAUCUUUGGCUAACAAUUUAUGAUAUUGUAGGUGACUAGUGAGAGAGGAGUACUAGCUUAUAUGGAAGCUAGGGACACUUUGUUCGACCAGAUUAAAAGUAGAUAUUUUGAAGAUAAUAAAUUGAGCAAUUCUAGAGAAAAAGUAUUGCAAGGUGAGGCUAGAGAGAACAUACUUGAUGAUGAAAGAGUGCUGAGAAUAUAAGGGCAGAUGUGUGUACCACGUGUGGGCAAUUUGAUUUUUACUAUACUUGCGAAGGCUCACAACUUUAAGUACUCUAUACAUCUGAGUGCUACCAAGAUGUGUAGGUACUUGAGAAAAUACUAUUGGUGGUGAAGAAUGAAGCAUGAUAUUGUAGAUUUUAAGACUAAGUGUCAAAAUUUCCAACACGUCAAGUAUGAACACCAGAAUAGUACUUUUCAAAGGAUGUCCAUUCCAAAAUAGAAGUGGAAAAGGAUAAACAUAGACUUUGUGGUUAGUCUUCCUAAGACCUUGAGAAUGUGUAACUCUAUAUGGGUUAUCGUUCAUCAAUUGACUGAUUCAACUCAAUUAAUUCAGUAUUAGUGAAUUAUAAUGUGGCUAAGUUAGGUAAAAUUUAUGUGAAGUGAAAUAUAAGGCUACAUGGGUACCUAGUAGGAUUGUGUUAGAUAAGGGUACUUAGUUCACCUCUAAUUUUUUAGAGAAAUUCCAGUUAGAGAUGUGUUCUAGAUUGGACCUAAGUAUAACUUUCCAUCCACUAGUUGAUAGGCAGUCAAAGAAAACUAUUCAAGUACUUGAGGACAUGCUUCGAGCUUAUGUUAUGGACUUCGAGAUCAGUGGGACCAAUAUCCACCUUUGUGUAAAUUCGCCAACAACAAUAGCUAUUUAGUGACAUAACUUAUUUUGAAGCCUUAUAUGAUAAAAGAUAUAGGUCUCAAAUUAGAUUGUUUGAUGCAUUUGAAGUGAGGCCUUGGGGCACUGAAAUGCUCAUGGAUUUGAUAGAGACAAUAAGGUUUAUAUAAUAAAACCUCAAAGUAGGUCAGAGUCGACAGAAAGAGUAAGCGGACAAUAAGGUAAGAGAAGUGAAGUUUGAAAAGAAAUAGAAUUCACUCUUAAAUAUAGAACCCAUAAAAUGUGUAAUAUUUUUUAGAAAGAAGGAUAAGUUGAGUUCGAGAUUCAUUGGACCAUUUGAGGUUUUGAAAGGAGUGGGGUCAGUAGCCUUCAAGAUAGACUUACUUUCUAGCAUGUGUAUAAUUCACUUGGUAUUCCAUGUAUCCAUAUUAAAAAGCAUCAUAGAAAUGGUGAUUACAUUAUUUGUUGGGACCUUGAGUUGUUUGAUAAUAAGAGUUAUCUUACAAAGUGGAACCAAUUGCUAUAUUGAACAGAGACGUGAGAAAGUUGAGGACCAAUGUUAUUCCUUAUUAAAAGGUUCAAUUGAGAAACAAUCCUAUUGAAAAAGCAACAUAGGAAACAGAGGUGGGCAUACACGACUGAUAUUUAUAUUUGUUUAUUGACUCGUGUAUUUUCCUUUGCUUAGAUAUGUCAUUUUAGGCUAGUUUACAUUUGGGUAUGAAUGAAUGGUAAAUUGGUAUUUAGUUUAACGAUUGAAAUUGUUGUUACACUAAAAUAAGAGGUGAAACCUUUGUUAGGUUUUCUUUUAGACAAUUUUAAGAAAUUCAAGGCUAGGCUAGUGUUAGAUUAUUUUUGAGGGUAUAAUAGUCUAAAGAAAUUUGGUAUUAAUGUUAAAUCGAGUGGGGAUGUUUGACUUUAUUUCUUGAUAGAUGAUGAGUUUAGAAAGUUGUAGCAACUUUUGGCUCAUAAAAUAGAGUCAUAAAAUUUUAUUAUGGAGUUUACAAAGGAAGGUUGGUUUGUAAUGUCGUAUUUUGAGGAAUGCUUUGUAAAAUAAACCCAAUUGGGGAGAGGACUCAAGAUUAUUCCUUGAAACCACUUUAACAAAAAAGUAAAUAGUUGCAGUGGUACCACUACAAUAAAAAAAAUACUGCUGCAAUUGCAACCUGUAGUUAACAUGAAUUACUGUAGCAGUAACUUUACACUGCUAUAGUAAAAAUUUAGUUUUUAUAGUUUUUAAAAUCAAAAUCAUAUUUUACUUUCCAUGUUUUGAAAAUUGAAUCAAGUCUCUAGGGAAGAUAAUUUUUAGCAUUCUUUACAUUCUAAACAUGAAUUACUUCUUAGAAUCACUAAAAAUUGCUAAAAACUUAUUUAUGGUGAAAUUAGAGUUUAUUCCUAAUUCAUGAACUUAAUGCAAAGUAGUGGGAAUAAGUAUAAAAUUAGUUGAUAAUGAUUCUAGGAUGUUAGAAAAUAGUAUUUGGACUAGAUUUAUAGGUCUGAAUGCUAUAUCAAGUAGAGUUCAUGAGGUUAAAAAGGUAUAAAACCCUAAGAUGAUGAACUAUGAUAAUUUCAUGAUUAAAAUUAUUAAUAAUUAAUUCGUAAUGGUUAAAAAAAGAUGAAAUAAUUGUAUUAGGCAUGUAAGUGAAAGAGAAAAAAAGGCAAGCGUGUGACUUUGAAGUGAUUUUGAGCAAGGAAUCAAGAUAGAUUACAUUUUAUUGUAGAAAUUAGUCUCUCUUGACUCUAUGCUUAUAUGUGAAUUGAAUAUUUAUGACUGCUUUCGACUAUUAUUUGUGAUUAUUGAAUGUGUUUGCAUAUUUAUACUUAUUAAUGAUGGUGAGUUAAUGAUAAUGAUAGUGCUAUUAAAAUCAUGAUGUUCAUGGUGUUGUUAAUGAUAUUGAUGAUGAUGAGUUGAUUAGAAUGAUGAUGAAAAUGAAAUCAUGAUUUUCAUGAUGUUAAGAAUGAUGGCAUUAAUGGUUUAGAACAUAAAGAGAUGGUGUACAUAUCUUCCAUUCAUACAUUCAUUUAUAUGAAUAGAAUGUUCAAUUAUAAUUAUAUGUUGUUAUGUAACUUGCUAAUGAAAUUAGCUAAGUUUCAAAAUAAAUAAAUAUGAACUUUAAUUUCCUCUAAAGUGAAGUGUUAUAAAAUGUGUUAUGUCUUUGAUUAUGAGUUCAGUGAUAAUCAUUGUUGAAUUUAUUUGAUUUGCUUACUUGUAUGGUGUGAGUUAGGUCAGCCUGUGAUGCCAACCUGUACUUUUUGAUGUAUGUAUUCUACCUGUGCUAUUCUUUUUGUCUAGUAUAGAGUAUGUUCCAGCAUUUAAGAUGAAAGUUUGACUCAAGCCAACAGUUUUGGACUUUGAUUCAAGGGUGAGCACCAUGAUAAACAACAAUUAAAUCAUUAACUUUACACUCGCUUCCCUUGUUUUAGGACUACGACACUCUUUUGUUUUAUUUAGUAUUUUGGAUAUUCUUUUAGCUAUAGAUUUAGUACUCUUAAUUAUUCUUAUAUAGUGACUUUAGGUUUGGGGAUGUAAUAAAUAGAGAAUUUCUGCACUCUAUUAGUUUUUAAUGAUUAUUUUAGGCGAUAUUUUUCUUAUUUAUUGGAUAAAUAAGGUUUUAGAAUUUCUUAAUGAUAAGGUUAGUAUAAGGUCAAUGUGAAUGCAACACUUGAUCAGUGAGCGUUUGGUUACGUAUGGUUCUUCCACCAUAGUUUAGGGUGGUUGUUAAUCAUGAACGUUUAUGUCAUGUCAUAUAGUAAUCUAGACAACUUCUUGUCUCACUUUAUUUCUAAUUUAUUUCAAUUACUUUAAUACAAUUUUAACACAUUCUCUAAAUUUUACUGAGAAAAUAAUUAGACAUAAUGACUAAGACGUGGAGAUAUUAUCCAGACCACUACCUCCAAGUAUCAUGAGCCAAAUAACUUUACCUCUAACUCUAUCUUCUAUUAUAUUUUUUUUCAUAAUUACAACAAAUCAUUAUUUUAUUAAUGAUUGCAUUUGAGCUAUGCAAGUGAUGUUACUAAAAAAUUAUUUACUAUAAUGAGGAAUGGGGGAGAAAUCUUGAAGAUUCUCCUAAAGUUCAAGGAAUAGGUCCAGAAUAUCACUAGACAUAAGAUAUGCACAAGUCUUUUCAAAGAUUUCUGAUAUAAUGGAUCCAUUGACAAAUCGACUGCGACCUAUCCUAAGGUUGAUAAAUCUAAUCCUUUAUUUUCUAAUUAAAUCUUAUGUUCUUUGAUGAUUCUAUUAGUUUUAGGUUGAAAUUACAUCUGACCUGAUUUUUGUUCCAAUAAGAUAUAUAGGCAAUACUACAUAAGGAUUUAGUAUUUCCACUAUUACAAACUCCAAACCCUCUAAGGACACUAAGACAUGUCUUUGAAACAAUCAAAUAUUGUUUUUCAUACCAUUUCAAUUAUGUUUCUUUGAACUGGAAAUAAGGGCAACCUUUUAAAUAGUUCAGUGAUUUCAAGAAUCUCAGUUCAAUUUUAGUUUCAUAACCAUUAUCUAUCAACAAACCUCUCUUUACAAGAGGGUCAAAAUGAAGUAUGGAUGCAGCUUUUGUGACAUACUUAAUCUUUCUUCAAAUGUCUGAAUUCCUCUUAACAUAUGUAGUUGGGUUCAUAAAUGUUUCAUAGCUACCAAAUUAUUAUGACAUGUUCAAAGGGUUUGAUAAAUAUCGAUCUCCUUAUUAUAAAAAUUAUAAAAAUUUUUGAGUUUAGGUAGGUUUGUCUAUGUUUUAAGUAGACAAGUUUUACUAUCACUUUGUCUAAAUUUGAUAUCUCUUAUUUAUUUUGGUUUUCAUUCCGCAGCAAGAUGUACUAAACUACCACUUCAUUUGAAGUUGACAUAGUUAUUUAGAUUUCUACCCUUUAAGAAGACGCAAUGAUUUAUCACUUUCUUUGGAGUAAUGUUUUAUGUUAUGUUAGAUCAUAACCUCCUUAGUUGUGACAUGUUAUGUUAUAUUGGAUCAUCACCUCCUUAGCUAUAACAUGUUAUGCUAUGUUGGAUAAUCACCUCCUUAAUUGUGACAUUAUAUUAUAUCAUCACCUCUCUAGUUAUUACAUAUCAUAUUUUAUUAGAUUGUGACACCUGUAUUUGUGACAUAUUUUAUUGGAUUGUCACUCUAAUAUUUUUGGCAUGUUAUAUUGAAUCGUCAAUCCAUAUUUGUGACCUAUGUUAUUGGAAUAUUACUCAUAUAUUUGAAACAUAUUAUAUUGGAUCGUUACCUCCUUUGUUAUUACAUAUUUGUGAAAUAUGGAUCGUCACUCAUAUAUUUAUAAGAUUUUAUGGUGGAUCAUUACCUCCUUAAUUGUGACAUAUUAUGUUGGAUCAUCAUUUACUUAGUAGUGACAUAUCAUAUUUUGCUGGAUCAUUACUCUUAUAUUUGUGACAUAUUUUAUUGGAUCAUCAUCACUCCUAUAUUUGUGAUAUGUUUUAUUAGAUUGUCACUCCUAUAUUUGUGACAUAUCUAUUUGGAUUGUUACUUUUAUAUCGGUGACAUGUUUUUAUUGGAUCGUCACUCCUAUAAUUGUAACAUAUUUUGUUGGAACAUCACUUUAUUAUGUUGGGUCAUCACCCAUUUCGUUGUGACAUAUUGUAUUUGUUACAAAAAUUUUAGUAUAGGUGGUUAUGAUACACACUAGGAAGUUACCUCAUUCAAAGUUGCAUGUUAUAGAAUGUUUGCACAAUUCAAAAUUGACCUAAUAUUGCAUUAGCUACUAAUAAGUUUAGUGUAGGUGUUUAUAUGUAAUGAUCCAUUCCAUUUUUAUUGAAAUCAUCUAUGGUAAAAUCAUUAUAACCUAUUUCAUUAUAAAUUAUAGGACCAAUUCUUUAGUAUCAGAGUGCGUUAGAAAUGAACUAAGGUAAUACAAUACCCUUGACAUACAGUUAAGUAGGAAGUGUGCUUAUCGAUUGAGUUUUGAGCUAAGUGUAAACUAAGAUCAACUUCAUACUCACAUAUGUAUUAGAAUAUAAUGAGUAUGGGGUCCAAUAAACAUCAAAUAAAAGAUCUUUAUAGUAGUUUUCAUUUCAGUGCAUCCGACCAUUUGUUAAUCUACCUUUGGAGUAAAAGGCAAUGAUCAUUUUUAUUGAACAUUUUCUGGACUAAGAAAUUAUUGUCAUAGUGGUAUCACUGUAGUGAUACAAUUUCAGUGGUAACUGGGCAGUUUAUAGCCAUAUUUUUUUUUAUAUAUUUCUUGGGUUUUUAACUCAAAAACUUCAUCCAAGGCCAUAGAUGGCGAUUUCCCAACUUCUAGGGUGAAAAUUAUUUGUUGAGGUAAGUUCUUCUGUCAACUUUUUUGUAUUUUAAUCCUUUAGUAUUCUAGAAUCAUUAGAACAAUUUUUGAUGGUGAAAUUCAUUGGGAUUUGAGCCAUAAGUUCAUGAUAUUUUAUGGAAAAUCUAUGGGUUAAGAAUAACAUCACCUUGAAUCACUUUGAGAUUGUUAAUUAACGAUUCCUAGCAUGAAUAAGUGAUUCUAAAAUAUGAAGUUUAAUUCUUGGGAAUCUUGAGUUCCUUAAAAAUAGAACCUUUAGCUUUACAAAAUCUCAUUGACCCUGAAAACUUUGUUUAAAGUAUUUUGUAACACAUGCUUCAAUUUGGUUUUGUUUUCAACUAAAUGACUUGAACAUGUCACUAAAAAUCUAUAAUCAAAUCGCGAUGGGUCUCUUUCUAAUUUAUUUAAAAUUGUUGUUGUUUUUCUUCCAAGUCAUGGUGGAUUAAAUUUCAUUAAUAGAGCGUGAUUGUGUAGCGCCUCAAAUCUGGUACCCAAAAUGCUACACGGUGCUCAUGACUUCGAAGGACCACAAGCUAACCCAUGCUGAUAUCUAUACUUGUAUACUACAUAAUAUACUGUAUAAUGUAGAAACAUGAACUGAAAGGCAAUAAGGUUUAAAGCUGAGACAUAAUAUCUGAUAAAAUAUAACAUCUAGGUGGGGUAUGAAAUACCCAAAACUAACUAAAAUAAACUAUCUACACAUACUGUAGUCUGAAAAGUCUCUAAAACAUGACUGUUUGAAUAAGGAGUUGCUGGGACAUGUCCCCAACUAAAUCCAACUAAUAAAUUAAUUAAUGAGAUAAUAAAGAAAUGGUCAUGUCCUUGAAAGAUGAGGACUUACUGCUAACUCUAACUACUGAGACUGGAAUGCUACUGAUGCUCUAGAGCUCGUGUCUCUGAACCUAUGGUAUAAGACACCAUAGCACAUAUGCGUCAGUACUUUGAAUGUACUGGUAUGAAUGUAAGGUAGGAUAAAUGCAUGGGGUUCAUAUGCAUGAACAAUACUGACUAACUGAAUAAUAUGAACAUAAGAAUGUAUGUAUGAAUACAUAGUAAUUGUAACUAAGAUCGUGAUAACAUGAAUUUACUGAUAACUAACACGACUGGUAACUGAGUUUCGAUGACUGAUAUAACUGAUAACAUGAGUGACUAUAUCUGACAGUCCUGAAUUUAAUGAAACUAAAUGAGCUCUGUACUGUAUCUUAGUUGAUUGUAUCUGACAGUCCUAAAUUCUAUAGAACUAUUUGAGUUCUUUUACUGAUUCUGAUACUGAAACUAUGGAAAGUAGUUAUCUAACUAACAUGCCCCUAAUACGCCAUUAUGGAUGAGUUAGGGUCUAAUCUGUAAUCCCAAUUGGAAGGGUGACAAUACCACACCACUAGUAAGGAUAAUCUGUGAGUAACCCUCAUAGAACAGGUAACUCUAGUGAGAAUGGUGGGAACUCUUAUAUAAUAGGUUAAGCCACCUCAUCUACCCUCAUAUAGACGUCUAUGAUGUCUCCACCUAUGUUGGCUACAUAGUUUUGGAAUGCAAGGAUUGCUUCUAAGAAUCACCUCCUCAUAUAACAAGUGAGUUCCCAUCCUUAGGUUCACUCUGUGCUAAUUUAUACUCCCAUCUGAAUAGAUACUGGACAUGAUUAACUAAACUGACUGGACUGAGUUUACCGAGUUUCAUUGACUGACGGAAUAUUACUGAGGUUAGAUAAUUGACUGAGAUUUACUGAAGUUACUGAGUUUUCCUAAGUCAUGAAGCUGAUUGAAUUCUACUGAACAUAGCUUGACUGAGAGUAUCUUGAGAACAUGACAUAGGCUCUAGGCACACAACUAAUUGUCGGGUAUAAGUAACCCCAGGAUUCAAUGGAAAAAAACUGACAAAAUAUGACUUUCUUAAGUAUAUGACCAACAUCACAAUCUAUAAUUCAUUUAUUAGGGCAUUUCAUCAAACAUAUGAUAUGCAUAAACUUUUACAUACAUGAGAAUUGCAUAAUAUCAUACUAGUUGGGCGCUUUUUCUUCGUAUAGGCAUUUAAUCAAAUAUAUGGUAAGCAUAGUAUAUGGAGACAACAUUAUACAACAAAUAAACAUCAUGAUUCAACUCCAAUUUAAUCAUCCAAGGGUUUAAUCAUAGGUUCACAUGAAUCUACACCUAUACUAAUCAAUUCCACAUAAAAUUGAUCACCUAAUAUGAAUUAGAAUUCAAUUGGUCAUUAUCAACAUGAACAAAAGCAAACCCAACAUGAAAUUCAUAAAGAAGUCCAUAUACUUGAACUUUGAAAAGAGAUUCUUGGACUUCAUGGAUGAAAGGAGUCCAUGAAUGAAUACUAUGCAUACCUGGUAGUGAGUUUCUUGAAUUUCUUGAACUUGAAGAAUUUGAAUCUCUUAGUUCUUGAAGAAGAUUUGGAUUUUGUUGCUUAAGGAUUUCUCUUAGGGAGAAAACCCUAAUUUUAAUGUUGUGGAAGAAUAAUGAAAUUAUGAGCCUUGGUUGGAUAUUACUAGGUAUACAAAUGGAUGGUAAAAGACCAAAAACCCCUUUAAAAAUGAAUUAAAAAUAACUAAAUGGGAUAUGUCACGGCUCGUACGAUGGCCCGUAGCUGGAUCAACGGUCCAUCAUUGGUGGACGAGGAUAGGGACUUACUGCCUAAGUAGCGACGGCUUGGGAGAUGGUCCAUUGCAAGUUUGACGGUCCAUCAACCUGUCCGUCACACCUUAUCCAGAAGGUUGCCGUACCACCUUGGCUGUAAUGGUCAAGGUGACGGUCCAUCUCUAGAUUGAUGGUCCGUCAGCCUGGCCGUCGCACCUGGGUGAUUCUGAUAGCUCUUAGUAAAACGUCCAUAGCUUUUCACUCCAACACUGAAUUUAAAUGAAAUUUGUAUCUUUGGAAAGAAAAUUCAAUUUCCCAUAUGAUAAAAAGUAAAAAUAUUAAAAAUUCCACAUGUAAAAAAAUGAAUUCCUAUUUCAAAGAAAGUUUCUAACAUUCUUGAGACAAUUUCAAGCUAGGAAAAAGUAUGAGGUAUUAUAGAUUGACUAUAAUGGAGCUAUUUAUUAAGUAGAUGAUUGAAUACUAUAGAGCUAUUUAAUAAGUAAUUGACCUUUGGGUAAUAUUUUAGACCAUGAAUAAAGAUAGAAUUUCCAAAGUAGUUAUUUGAAGUAUAAUUUCUGAACUACUCCUAUAGUUAUUUGAUUUCUAGAUGAUUGGGCUAACAGAGCAUGUUGGAAAGGAAAAAACAACCUUGGUGUCGCUUUCUUUUUCCAAGAUCUUCGAUUGAGGUAGGUUAUAAUUUAAUAUAUAGUAAAAUUAUAUUAUUUAAGUAUAAUAACUUUAGCUAACGGGAUAUUUCAUGUCUAGUCUUGCAAGCAUGGAGUUUUAAUUGAUAAAAUAUGGAAAAAUUAUAAUGAUGCUAUAAUUAUAUGUUAUUGUAUUUUGUAUGGAUCCCUUGAUUGGUGUUGUAUUUUUAUAACUUACUUGAUGAUUUAUAGAUUUUAAUAUGCUAAUGUUAAUGAUAAUAGAAGAAUUAGAUAGCCUUAUAAUCUAUAGAACUAGUCUUUAUACAUUUAAAAGAGUGAACCCGCUAUUGUGUAAGUUUGAAGUAUCAGAUAUUCUUGCUUGAAGAUAGUUAGGUGAAUAAAUAGUGAUAAUAGAAUGUGAUGAUAUAACUUAAGAACCUAAUGUGAAGUUUGACUAAGUGAUAUAAAGUAAGAUUUAUAAAAAAGGAUGACUCCAACUAGAAUUGUAAGUUGAAUAGAACCAAGUGGUUGAAUAACCGGCUAAAGAGGAUAGUUUCUUAAACUUAGUGAUGAAUUGACUGUAAAGGGUUACUUGUUAGUAACUGAAUUUAUCAGUUUACUAUGAAUAAAAGAGACUUAUAUUGGUGAAUGAAAUAGGAUGAUGAAUUAGAGUGUAGAUAUCAAUCAUGAUGGCAUAUGCACACCUAAAAUUGAUAUUUGGUUGAUUGGUCUUCAGACAAAUUUAUGAUUGUUGAUUGAUUUUUAUAAUUCUUAUUUGAAUAAGUAAUGAAAUGGUCUUUGGACAUACUUGUGAUUCAUGUGUUAGUGGAUCUUUUUUGCUUACAUAGAAUGAUGAACUUUCUGAUUAGUGAAUACAUUCACUUGGUGCCAUUAAUUAUAUGUUUUGCUUUGUUUACUGGUACUUGCACCUAAUUCAAUUGAGUGUUUAUGAUUCACUUUCAAGUAAUACUUGUGAUUAUUGACUGCAUCUUUCAUUUUUAUUGAUGAUAUUGAUAAUAAGAUUGAGAUCAUGAUAAUGGUGUUGAGAAUGAAGUUAAUGAUGAUGAGCUGAUAUUCAUGAUGAUAUUGAGAUCAGGAUGACGAUGAUGAUGAUGUUGAAAUAAUUAUGAGGUGAUAUUGAUGAUGAUAUUAAGAUCUUGAUGAAAUGAAAGAUGAUGAUAAUGUUGAGAUGAGAAAUAAAUGAUAUAGAUAUCAUACAUAUAUACAUAUUGUAAUGUCCCAAGUCUAUACCCCAGAUGCUACACGAUGAUUACAAUCCCAUAGAACCAUAAGAUAACCCAUGACUGAUAUCUUCUAUGAGCACUGAAUAAUAAUACUAAAAUAAAUGUGGAAUUAGGCUGAAUUUUCACAAGGUUCAAAAAUCUAAAUACUGAUAAAUAAUAACAUAUGGUAUAACAUCUAAAAACGAAACACUGUCUGAACUGGUCUAGUCUGAAAGCCUCUAACUGAACUAUCUGAAUAUAGAGUUGAUGGGACAAUCCCCCAACUAACUCCAACUACUGAUCCAUUGAUUAAUUGGAUUAUUGUAAUGAAAGCAUGCCCUCGAUAAAUGAGGACUCACUACUAAUUCUGCAACUACCGACUAGAUCUAUCUAAGCGCGUUCAGGAACGUGAGUGUUUGAACCUAUGAUAUGAGAUGUUAUAGCACAAAGAAAGAGUAUACAGUCAGUAUGUGGAAUGUACUAGUAUGCUAGAUAAGGUAAGGCUGAAUGGAAGGGUUCAUAUGCAUGAGCAGUAACUGACUGAAUGACAUAGAGUAACUGAAUGUAAGAGUUUGUGAGUAACUGAUACUACUGAAAUCACUGAGUAUGAAAUACUGUGGACAUACAUAAAUAUAUACUGUAUCAAAGGUUUUCUCAAGCUAGGUACUGAGUUCUGAUAUUUGGGUAACUAAUAUCUGAAGUUAUGACAAUUGAUUUGCUGAUACUGAUUGACUGUGUCUGACAGUCCUAAUUUUGUAAAACUCAACUGAAUUCUAAACUGACUCUGAAAGUGAAACUAUGGGAGAUAAUCAUUUAACCGACUUGUCCCUCUCUGAACUAAUUGGGGUCCAACCUAUAACCCUAAUUGGAUGGGUGCUAAUACCAUAACACGUGUACUAACACUGGCUUUGAGUUAACCCUACCUAAUAGGAAGACAUUUUUUCAACCAUCACUAAUACGAAAACUUAUGAGAGAUAUGUCUACCCUUAUCUAGAAGGAAGUCAUCUCAACCUACAUUAGUAACAUAGUUUUGUAACUCAGGGAUUACAACUAAGGGUCAAACACUACACUAAUAGAAAUUCCCCCAUCUCUGGGUUCGCUCGGUGCUGAAUCCUACUCCAAACUAAAAGAUACUGAACUAAUUAUACUGAACUGGACUGGACUAAUACUGAGUUUGCUGAGUUCUCCUAAGUUCUGUAACUGACUAAGAGUACUACUGGUUGUGACAUGAUUGCUACUAUUUUGUAACUUACACUGGCUCUAGGUAAACAGCUAAAUUAUCGGGUAUUAAGUACCCCCAGGACCUGAUAACAUGAAAAGUAAAGCUUAGCCAAAGCUUGAAUAAUAUAGCAAUGUUCAUUUGUUCAUAAUUCAUUCAUACAGACAUUUCAUCAAUCACUUGUAAUGCAUUAACUUGUACAUGAAUGGGGAAUACAUGAUAUCAUGGUUUAAUGUCACUAUUUCAUUCACAUAGGUAUUUUAUCAAAUAAUUAUAGGGCAUAAGCUUGUACAUAUAUUAUCAUGUCAUGAUUUCAUCAUUUAAUUCACAUGAAUAUUCUAUCAAUCAGUUGGGGAGCACGGCCUAAUGCACAUAUUCAUAGAUAAUAUAAAAACAUGUUAACUACAAUGCCCAACUUAUAAUUUCAUGGGUUUAGCAUGCUAUUCAUAUAAUUCACCUUAAAUACUAUUCUACUUUCAUGAAUCUUAUCAUAAUCAUGGAUUAAAAAUCAAAUUAACAUCAUAGAUACAUUAAUCACUUUGUAAAUUCAAGGGUUUAUCAAAAUAUUCACAUUUUUAUCACACAUGCUAUUUAAUUUCAUGAACUUGUACUUAAAUCAUGGAUUGAAAACCAACUAAUAUCAUGAACAUGAAUUCAAUUUAAUUUAAACAUGAAAGUUCAUAAUUCAACAAUUUUGUAGUUUUAAAAAAGUAUUUGUGGACUCUAUGGGUGAAAGGAACCCAUUGAUGAACACCUAAUAUACCUUAGAAGAUUCUUUCUUGAAGGUUCUUGGAGGAAAUUCUUAGGCUUGUUCUUGACUUCUUGAACAAAGGUUUUUCUCUCUUUGAGAGAGAAUGUUUUAUUCUUGAGAGAAAGUGAGGAAAUAAUGAGAUCAUAGGUCAUUUAGGGUUAGGUUUUGUGGUUAGGCUGAUUGGGGCUGUGGAAAAAAACUCAAAUGCCCUUUGAAUAACUUAAAAUUUCAUAACUGAAAAACCCAAUUUGGGCACCUAGCGUGAUGCGCCACUAUCACACCAAACCAUUGGAAACUAACAAUUAGGAAUGUGGCUGGUGGCGCGACACGGUAGAAUUAUGUUGCAAUGCUGAGUGCGACCUGGAAAUUCACCGCAACAUGGUCGAACCACGUUGGAACACUCGAAAAGGACAAUUCUAAAUUGAGGGCUUGAUGCGAUACGGUAAUAUCAUAGAGCAACACUAGAAAUUCGCAAGUGCCAUUCGGCUGGCCUCCACAACGCACUGACAUGUAUUUUGGCACACUGCUUUACAAAAAAUAUUGAACUCUUCGUCCAAGCAUCGGAUUUGGGUGAAUUUUAUAUCGUUGGAAAGCUAUAUGAAUUUACUACGCCUUGGUGAACUCUAAUCUAAAAAAUACUGAGUAUUUAAAUUUUUUUAUAUUGGAUAAUUCAUGGACUGAGAGUUAGUUUAAGCUAGGAAAAUACUGGGUAUUAGAAUAUCUCCCCCGUAAGAACAUUCGUCCUUGGAUGAGACUGGUUAAGCUGAGAAACACUAAUAGAAUGGGCUUAUACAUUGAACAUGCAUAACUGAAGCAUGACUACAUGACUGAAAUUACUGACAAGCUAAGUUCCCCUACUGAACAUGCAUAUCUGAUGCAUGGAAUACAUGACUGAAGCUACUGAUAAGCUGAGUUUUCAUAUUGAACAUACAUAAAUGGGAGCACGAGAACAUGACUGAGUCUGAAACAUGAUACAUGGACUGACUAUCAUUAAUAGAACUGAGCUCUUGAAUAUAUGCCCUGACUUAGGAAUAGUCAUACGACUUAGUUUGGAAUAAGAGGGUUAACUUAUAAGUACCCAUUAAUCCAAAAUAGAUUUGUUAUGUAAAGAGAAACGAUAAGGUUUAGGAUAUGAAAUCUUAGGGGUUAUAGUGCAUCUCUCCCUUGGGAUAUUAUGUCCCUCGAAGACUGCUGACUUGUCUGGGAUUCUGACGAAUAACUGAGACGAUGUAUAAGGCACCUACAAACUUAAUCAUGACUGAAUCUUUGGGAUUUGAAACUGAGACAUGAUUCAUAAACUGGGCUUAACUCAUAACCACUAGGAUGCUCUAUCUGGAAUAGUCAUAUUCACGGAUUUUUGGAUAGUAUGACUGCGUGGAAAGAUUGGAAGAUGUACGAACUUUUCCGCCUGACUGCUAAACUAAAUUAUUGGCUUUAUGGAGUAGCUCGUACUGAAAAUUGAUCCCAACUGGAGCAUCUAUCGAUACUCUUUCUGUAAAGUUCUCUUGACUUUAGGGAGAAAAUAUAUCUUGGCUUGGUCUGAAUACGACAUCAGGAUAACAAAUCAUUCCAUGGCUAUAAUUCUGUAAUAUGGGUGAGGCCUACAAAAUGUAAUCUAAGAUAGAGUACCAAGCUUCGUGCACUAAAAAUAAUAGCAUGCCAUCCUAGCCACAUUUCUUAAAUAUUCCCUCAACUGUCAUUUCUACUUCAAAACCGCAUUUCACUUGGGGCUACUGAAAAUAUUCGCAUGGGUACCGAGCACGAAUGCAUAAAAAUACUAACUUAUUUGAUUAACUAGAUGACUGAUAGCUGGAUACUGGUCAUGUAAGAUGGAACUGUACUUAACCUAAAUAACUGGACUGAAACUAUAGAGUACUAUGCAUCUAAGGUAAGGACUGGUUGAGGAACAUGAGGUAACUGAGCAUGAAUUCAUGGAAACAAUAUUAUAUAGGAAUACAAGACUGAGCGCAUAACAUGAUUCUAAAAUACUGAUAUACUAACAACUGAAUAACUAAUAGCUGUAUGAGUUGGUCAAGCGAACCUGAAACUGGACUAAGUUUAGAGCUGAAUGCUGAACUGAGUACACUGUAAAGCAUGAGUACAUGAGUCAUGAGAUGAAUGACCUUAAUUUAGAGUUUUUGUAUUCAUGGAACAUGAUUCAUAACACUGAGUGAACUAGAACUCCUUAUACUAGGAACUAUAAGCGUACAUGAUUUUCGUUAAUGUGCACGAAUAUGAGCUAUGAUCAUAGAGCUGACAUAUACUGUGUGAGUAGAUAUCAUGAUAGCUGAAGUGCAACCUCUCUCACUGCUACUCUACACAUACUGACAUUACUAUUAAAAUUUGAAAGUCUAACUUGGUUACUUGUUCUACCAUCUCUACCUUAGCAUUACAUCUGUUAUUCUAAGUCUGUGAACCUCUUAAUAAACUCUAAAUAGAACUAAAACCACUUUUCUCUAAAGUCUGAGAUAUGACAAUGCUCAUAAAUACUAAACUUAUUAUGAAGGACUACUCCUGAUAAUGUAAGGUCCACUAUUAGUACUUUCUUCUUAUACAUGAUUCUUAGCUUUCUAUUGCCCCAAGAAUCACCAUAUAACAACUCCAACACUGACUAACUUAUAAUUCUCAACUUCCCUUUCUACUAGUUUAAUCUAGAGAUUCAAACUUAAAUCAACUGAAACUGAUGUACUACCCCUUCACUCAAGGACUGGUUCAUCAAGAAACUAAAACAGACGACUGUAUUACUGAACUCAACUGAAGGGAUUUCUGAAAUACUAUAACCGAGCAACUUUUGUAUACUCAUCUGGCUGGAAUAGAUUUACCUACUAAGGUAGGCACUAAGAAAGGUUCUAUUAAGAUUUUUAGUUUGACCUAAAGUUGACUGGUAUGCAAGGAGUUACUAAGGACAGGGAAAAUCCUAGACCUAAUAAGGCAUGAAUAUGUAAAUAAAAUAUCAGUAAUGUACCAAUGAUGAAAUCAAGAGAACUUUCCUGAUCCUGUCUGGACUGAAGUGCAUAAGGUCUAUUUAGGCGUUGCCCACUGGCAGCACUGGAAGUGGCACCCUGUUGAUUUGGGUGACCUAACUAAGCUGAAGGACAGUUGUACUGACCUUGUGAAACUGACUGAGGACAAUCCCUAACACUAUGGCCUAGCUAGCCACACCCAAAAAAAAUAUCAAUUCCAGCUCUAUAUACUCUCUUAUGGUUCUUACCGCAUUCUCCGCAAAGAGGAUUAGUACGAAUACCCUUUCUACUACCUUAUGACUUAGAUCCUGGUGAUCCAUGUCAACUGUCAUUCUUAGACUUAGGAACUGGAGCUCUGACUGAAGGUAGAACUGGGGCAAAGAAUUUUUGACAGAAAUGGAAAUAGUUACCACCCUCUGACCUUAGCCUAAAACCACUUGUUUUGACUCUCUUAUUCUUUUUAUAUUUCUUUUUACGCUUCUCCCCCUUGCUAUGCUGAGUAUGAAAUACAAUCCUAGAUAGGAAAACAAUUUGAAAAUUAUUCUGAGUAACUACUGAAUAAGCUAAGGCAGUGAAAACAACUCUAAAUUCAGUGUGAGAGACAUGCUCAUGCAGGGAAUCUGCCUAAAUAGGCGAAGGAGCUGGCUGGUUUUCAUUACUUUUUCCAGUAGCUUCUCUGGGUGGCACAUUCUAGAAAUAAAAGGAAGAUAUAAAUUAGACUAAGAGUUUAACUUGAGAUCAUGCCCAUUCGCAAGACAUGAAAACUAAAAGAAGGGAAACUUUUCCUAAAACAUCUCAUAGCCUCCUGUCCAUAACUGUGGCGCGCUACAGACCCAUGCACAAUACUUUACUAGAUACAACUUUAAAACUUCCAAGGACAUUGUUGAACCUUAGGCUAUGAUACCAAGUUUGUACCACCCCAAGUAUGUACUCCGGAUGCUACACGAUACAUACAAUCCUGGAGGACCACAAGCUAACCCAUGACUGAUAUCUAGUGUGAGCACUAAAUAAUAAUACUAAAAUAAAUGAGGAAUUAGGCUAAAUUUCCAUAAGGUUCAAAAAUAUAAAUACUAAUAAAUAAUAAAAUCUGGUAAAACAUCUGAAAACUAAACACUGUCUAAACUGAUCUAGUCUAAAAGCCUCUAACUAAAUUAUCUGAAUAUAGAGUUGAUGGGACAAGCACCCAACUAAAUCCGACUACUGAUCUACUGAUAAACUGAAUUACUAAAAUAAAAUCAUGCCCUCAAUAGAUGAGGACUCACUACUAAAUAUGUUAUUACUGAUUGUAUUUGUCUAACCAAGGUUAGGAACCUGAACGUCCGAACCUAUGAUAUAAGACAUCAUAGUGCAAAUAAAAAGUAUGCAAUUAGUACGUGGAACGUAUUGGUAUACUAGAUGAUUUAAGUUUGAAUGCAAGGGUUUAUCUGCAUGAACAGUAACUGAUUAAAUGAUAUAGAGUAACUGAAUGUAAGACUACGUGAGUAACUGAUACUACUAAAAUCACUAAGAAAGCAAUACUGUGGACAUACAUAAAUAUAUACUGUAUUUGAGUUUUUCUAACGCUAAGUACUAAGUUCUAUUAACUGGGUAACAAUAUCUAAAGUUACUGAUAACUAAUUUACUGAUACUGAUUGACUGUGUCUGACAGUCUUGAUUCUGUAACAGUGUACUAAAUUCUAAACUGAGACUAAAGCUGAAAUUGUGGGAGAAAAUUAUCUAACCGACAUGCCCCUCUCUGAACUAAUUAAGGUCCAACCUAUAACCCUAGUUGGAAGGGUGCUAAUACCGUGCCACGGUUACUAACACUAGCUUUGAGUUAACCUUAACUAAUAAAAAGAUAUUUUGUCAACCCUCUCUAACAGGAAAACUUAUGAGAGAUGUGUCAACCCUUAUCUUGUAAAAAGUCAUUUUAACCUAUGUUGGUGACGUAGUUCUGUAACAAGUGAUUACUAAUAGGGGUCAAACCUACACUAACAGAAAUGCCCUUAUCUCUGGGUUCAUUUGGUGAUGAAUCCUACUCUUAACUAACAGACACUGAACUGGACUGAUACUGAGUUUACUAAGUUCUAUAACUGACUGACAGUACUAAUGGUCAUGACAUGAUUGAUACUAUUAUGUAACUAACUCUGGCUCUUGGUAAACAACCAAAUUAUCGGGCAUUAAAAAGCCCCAGGACUCGAUAGCAUGAAAAGUAAAGCUUACUAAAAUCCUGAAUAACAUAGCAAUGUUUACAUGUUCAUAAUUCAUUCAUAGAGACAUUUUAUCAAACACUUGUAACACAUUAACUAGUACAUGAAUGGGGAAUACAUGCUAUCAUGGUUUAAUAUUAUUAUUUUAUUCACAUAGGCAUUUUAUCAAACAUUUGUAGGGCAUAAGCUUGUACAUAUACUAACAUGUCAUGAUUUCAUUAUUUAAUUCACAUGAACAUUCUAUCAAUCACUUGAGGAGCAUGACCUAAUGCACAUAUUCAUAGAUAAUAUAUAAACAUAGCAACUACAAUGCCCAACUUGCAAUUUCAUGGGUCUAACAUGCUAUUCAUAUAAUUCCCCCUAAAUACCAUUCUAUUUCAUGAAUCUUAUUAUAAUAAUGGAUUAAACACCAAAUUAACAUCAUAGAUACAUUCAUCACUUUGUAAAUUCAAGGGUUUAUCAGGCUAUUAACAUAUUAAUCUCAUAUGCUAUUCAGUUUCUUGAACUUCCACUUAAAUUAUGGAUUGAAACCCAACUAAUAUCAUGAAUAUAAAUUCAAUAUAAUUCAAAUAUGGAAGUUUAUAAUUCAAUAAUUUUGUAGUUUAAAAAUGGAUUCAUGGACUCUAUGGUUGAAAGGAACCCAUAGAUGAACACCUAACGUACCUUAGAACAUUCUUUCUUGAAGGUUCUUGGAGAAAAUUCUUAGGCUUGUUCUUGGCUUCUUGAACCAAGGUUUUUUCCUCUUUGAGAGAGAAUGUUUUAUUCUUGAGAGAAAGUGAGGAAAUAAUAAGAUCAUUGAUCAUUUAGGGCUAGAUUUCGUGUUUAGACUGAUUAGGGCCGUGGAAAAAGACUCAAAUGCCCCUGGAAUGACUUAAAAAUUUAUAAUUGAAAAACCCAAUUUGGGCACCUAGCGUGAUAAGCCACUAUCGUACCAAGCCACUAGAAAUUGACAAUUAGGAAUAUGGCUGGUGGCUCGACAUGGUGGAAUCGUAUUGCAAUACUGAAUGUGACCUGGAAGUUCACUACGACAUGGUGGGAUUGCGUUGCAAUGCUGAAUGCGACCAUCGCGGGAUCGCAUUGGAAAACUAGAAAAGGACAAUUCUAAAUUGAGGGCUUGGCGUGAUCCACCAAUAUCAUGGAGCAACACUGGAAAUUUCAAAGUUCCAUUUGGUUGGCCUUCGCGAUGCACUAACAUGCAUCUUGGCUCACUGCUUUACAAAAUAUGGCUAUAACUCUUUUCUCGAGCAUCGAAUUUGGGCCAAUUUUAUAUCGUUGAAAAGAUGACUAAUUUUCUUAUGCAUUGGUGAGCUCUAAACUAAAAAAUAAUUAGUAUUUAAAAUUUUUUAUAUUAGAUAAUUAAUUGACUGAGAGUUAGUUUAAGACAGGGAAUAUGAGGUAUUGCACAUACAUUCAUCAUAUACAUUUGAAUGUAUAUUUAUAUUUAUAUGAUAUUGAUGGUUGCUUGAGUGGAUUGUUUAUGUUGAUGACAUAUCAUUCUUCCUUACAUGGAAUGGUUAUUUUAUGAAAUGUUAUGUUGAUGGCUGUGAUUGAGCAUCUAGCAAAAUGUAAAUUCAAGGUAUGUUCUGUAUUAUGUAUAAAUCUUAUUUACCUAUACAUAUAGCUAUAUAUGUGAUAUAUAUUGUAGUUCUUUGUAUUUUAAAGUUGUUGACAUUUUCAAUUUUCUUGCUUAUUUAAAUCCAAUUGUUAAUGGUAAUAUAAUAGGGAGCGAGGGAUGUCUAAUAAGAGGAUUUAUAAGAAAGAGAGAGAAUUAUAUAGAGUUUCUAUAAUAAGGUAAAUACAUGAGAAUGGUGGGUUAGAUUGAAUCAUAGAAUAUAGUUAGUUAAUCACGCUAUAUGGAUAAAGUAAUAUUGCGUAUGUAAAAGAAAGGGAUAACUUUGAAACUUGAAGUAAGUUAUGUGUGUUUAGAUGUCAAACUGGUACUCUUGUUAUGAUUGAUUCUUGUUUUCUAUAUGUUGUUAUAUGUUUCUAACCCUAAUCGACUGAUGAUACCUAUUAGUGCAUGUGGUUGUAUAGAUACUACACUUUUUAUAUCUCCAUUUAGGGAUAUUUCCUUGUUUCAAGCCGGCUGGAGUUCCUAUAGAUACAAUAGUAUUUAUUCUUCAAUAACUCCUAUCAUCUUACUCAUACAUAGAUAUUGUCUUUCAGGUUAUUCCUCCAUUUGUUUAGUGCUCUUGUACCGGUUUAGAUUAGGUUUUCGAGAAAACUGUUGAUCUUUUGGAGAAAAUUGUUGAUCUACUAUCUCAAUGGUCUUAUAUAAUAAAUGUGUUUUUGAAAAAAGGUUAUUUAUUCAUUGAUUUAUUUAUACUUAAAUUUUAAUAAUGUCUUCCGCAAUAAUUGAAUGGUUGGGUGGUGAGGGUUCUCUUAUCUAGGAUAGAGUUUGGUAAGUGCCCACACAGUCAGUAAAUGGGGUUGUGAGAUUAUGAGACACAUUGGGAAGUCACCCCAUUCAAAGUGACAUAUCACAAAAUACUUAAAAAAUUCAUAGUUGUCCUUAUAUUGUAUCUUUUACUAAUAUGUAUGGUGUAGGUGGUUAUGAGAAACAUUGGAUGUCAUCCCGUUCAAAGUGACAUGUUAAAAUAAUGUUUGCAUAAUUCAGGUUGCUCUUAAUUUUGCAUUUGCUACCAGAAAGUUUAGUACAGGUGAUUAUAAGACACAUUAGAAGUAACCCCAUUCAAACUGACAUGCUACAUUCAAGAUAGGUCAUUCAUUUUAAUGAGAUAUAUUGGGAAGUCACCUCGUUCAAAGUGACAUGUUACAUUCAAUGUUGUUCAACAACCUUACCAUGAGACAUAUUGGGAAGUCACCCCAUUAAAAGUAGCAUGUCACAUUAAAGAUACGUCAUCUACCUUUCAAUAAGGCAAGUUGGGAAAUCACCUUAUUCAAAAUGACAUAUUACAUUCAAGAUAGAUAUUUACCUUUUAAUGAGACACGUUGGAAAUUCAACUCAUUCAAAGUGACACGUUACAUUUAAAAUAAUUCAUUUGUUUUUUAAUAAGAAAUGUCUUGGUGAAUUCCAUAGUCCCGAUUGGGAUUUCCUAGACCCAGGUUUCUAUAAGCAGUCAGUGGCAUCAAAUUAAUGCUUUCUCCCAGAUCACAUAAUGCCUUGGUGAAUUCCAUAGUCUCGAUUGUACAGGGAAUAGUGAAUGCACCUGGGUCUGGCUUCUUUUGAACCAAGGUCCUCGUAGAAAUAGCGCUACAAUGGUGGAGAUUUUCCUCUAAUUCGUAGCUCACAGCUCUUUUCUUAGUCAAAAGGUCCUUCAUGAAUUUUGCGUAUCCUAGCAUUUGCUCAAGUACUUCUACCAAAGGCACAUUUAUAGCCAAUUACUUGAACAUUGCCAUGAAUUUUCCAAAUUUUGCAUCAUAUCCUUCUUCUUCAAUCAUUGACGAAAGGGAGGUGGUGGUCUUGGGAUAGUUUUCAACACCACUUCCUUUUCCUUCUCUUUUUCCUUAUUUGAAGUAUCAACGGAACUAUCCAGCUUCUCAGACUCCACUGGAUUGCUUUGUUCAGAUUCAUCAACAACUAUGUCACCAUCUACAGAUUUUGUACAGAUGGGCCAAGUAAUAUCUUUCCACUCCUAGUGUUAUUUUCCAUGCAUGAGCCAUUAUUUCACGGAUUCUGAACCGUAUCACUAGGUAAAGUACCACUCUUUCUCUAGUUCAGUCUUGUGGAUAGUAAACUCAUCUGCUGCUCCAACUGCUUGAUAAAAGUGGAGUAUGAGCUAAUCAACUGACUCAGGAUAAAGAAUUCACUCUUCAUAUUAGUUACCCCCGAGUUGGUAUCCUCAACUCCCUUCAAUAAUUUUUCUGUCAUGUCCUCCAUGGACAUCUUUCCAGAGCUAGUUGCAGCAGCUUCCUGAUUUCAAGGAGAAACAUAUAAACCACUCAUGUCAUUAAUGCUACUCCAGUUUCCUUGCUCCCUGUCUUUGUAACCAGGCUUGUCAUAAAUGUUCCGACCUUGAUUCCCUUGCCUAUUGCCUCGGAAACCCCCUGAUUAUUAACAUAAUUUUCCUCUUCUUUAGGAUCGACAUCCACUCGGUCUUGAGAUGUUAUAGCUUUCACUUUCUCAGUAUUCCAUGAUAAUAAGUGCUUGGUGUGCAACUCUAUCUGACUCUUCAGAUGGGCCAUGUCUUGAUCCUGUCCCUUAUCUCUCCUGCGUUGUUCACCAGACAUACCAACAGAAAUAGUAGGUUUGCUACCACAGACUCCCUGGUAUAACAAGUCCGACUCUGUUUGGUCAUCCUAUUUUGCAUAUCUGAGGCAUCUAGAAAAAACAGAUCAACAAAUAAACCACCAACAGUAUUAUCUACAAUCGACUUUGUUACAAAUUGAGGGCUCUGUACAAAGUCUCCAUCAAGUGUAGGUCCGUCAUAUUAUGGUUCAAACACUGUGUCAGCUUCUUCUUAAAUCUCUCCCACGUCUUAUGCGAAGCUUCUGUAGGGAGCUGUCUAAAGUUGCUGAUCUCGUCUAUCAACUGUACCCUCUAGGAGGGUGGAAAAAUUGUUCUAGGAAUGCUUCUUUCAAUUCCCUCCAGUGGGUGAUGAAAUUAGGCGUAAGCUCAUUUACCCAUAAUAUUUCCUCCCCAAAAAGAAACAACGGGAACAACCUCAAUCGGAUAGCGUUGUGGCCCACUCUUGGGUUAUCAAAAAAUAAGAAAAUGGUGACAAAAUUCACUAGAUGCAGGUUGGGGUCAUCCCCAGGGGGGCCUCCAAACAACCCCUUCAGAUUAAAGAGUUGGAUCAUAGUGGUCGUAAUGUUAAAUUUGGCUCCAGGUGCCAACGGUAGAGAAAUGAUUGCACCCGUUGCUCCUGCCCCAUCCAUGCCAUCAUCAUCAUCAUUCAGAUUAUACUAGACCUGCUGGUACUCUUGUCUUCUUUGGAACGGACGGUUUCGGUUAACUAUAUGUGGCACUUGUGUAGCUAUCUGCUCUACACGCCAUGGGUUACCAGGGUUCAAUAAAUCCUCAUCACCCAAAUCCUUAUCCUUAGGAUUUGGAUGUAUUGCAUGUUGAUCGACAUUUUGCAAACUCACCUGAGCUCUAGCUAAGGCUGCCAGUCUGUCAGCCUCUUGCUAUUCUGCCAUUUUUCCUAUUCAUUAAUAUUCCAGAUUUAGUGGUAAUAAUGUUUCUCCGAAACUUUUGGUUCUUGGUAUACACUAUAAAAUCCUGCAAAUAAACAAAAACAACAAAUAAAUAUAAAUCUAGGAAACUUAGCGAAAAGUCAAUUAGCACAUACAAAGUUAAGCUUACAAUCGUAUUCCCCGGCAACGACGCCAUUUUUGAUAAUGCUCAAAUUACACUCUUGAAUUAGUAUAAGCAAUCGUACUCAAUAUAAAACCUAACAAGGUUGGGGUCGAAUCCCACAGUGAAUAAGGUAUGAACCCAAGUUGUUUGCGAUUUAAUUCACUGAUAGUUUAAUGUUUCCUGAAAAGGGGGGUUUAAGUUUCACGAAUAAUAUUUUUCACUUUGAUUUUGAUGUUUUUAAUCAAGAGUUUAUGAAAUAACCGGAAUUAUGUUCACUAGGGCUUACGGUACAUGACAGAUGCUAGAGUUGAUUCAAGAUUCUCAUGGUGGAUAGGAUAACAAGCUAUCUUUAUCGAUGUUAUGAUCAAAUGUCUCUCGACCUACUUAAGCGUUUAGUUUCCUAAUCCUCUCAGACUUAGGGAAUUUCUAUUCAUUGCCCAGAUUUUACCUCAGGUUAACCAACUUUGUUACAAUGCUGAUUAUGAAACGAAGUAUUUUUAAGUCCCUGUUGAUAAUUCACUUCCUACUAUAUUUGAUUUCUUUCUCAAGAAAAUCAAAGCAGGUGUGUCUACUGUUUGCAACCAAUAGACGUUAAUUAAAGCUUCAGAAUUAUCAAGAAAUCCAACCACCUAUUGAAUCUUAAAUACUUAGCACCUUAUUAUGACCUAACACUAGAUCCCAUAAUUCGGGUUAAUAGAGUUUAUCCACUCUUGAUGCAAUAUACAAGUAUACAAGUUGAAUUCAUAGUUGGGCAGAUUAACUUAUAACGAUGAUGAAAAUUAAGAAGUGUAACUUGAAGUAAAUCUUAAUACAGAACUCCCAAAAUAUUGAUGACAAUCUUAUCUCAACAAUAAUUUUCUAGAGUGUAUUGGAACUCGAGAGAGAGAAAAAUCGUGCACAACAUAUAUUGCAAGAUAUAUCAAGGAUAAUUAGAAAACCCUAAAAGCUCUUAUUUAUACUUAAGUCUAAUUAAGGAAAUAAAAUAACAACUUAAGUAAAUUUCUCGGACUGGUGACGCCAUUAGGUGACGCCUUAUCUAGGGUCUGAUGACUUAUCAGGAAUGGCGUUAGAUUUCCUUCAAUGUUGACAAGCUCCGCCUAAGAGUGACGAUGUGGAUGACGACGUGUUAGGAGUCUGAUGACGUAUCAUGGAUGUCAUCAGCUCCUCUUCCCUUUUUAUAAUUUCUACCUAAGGCUGACGAUGAUCCUGAUGCCUUAUCACAACUCUGAUGCCUUAUCACAAAAUAUCGUCAUAGCUUCUCUUCAAUUCCUAUUCUCUGGUUAGGUCUGACGGUGGUCUUGAAAGUUUAUCACUAGGAUGAUGACUUAUCAUGAAUGUCGUCAGCCACACUUGUCCUUUAUUUUCUUCAGAAUUCAACCUUUUUGCUUCCAUUAUUAUUGGUUCCCCUGCACCUUAUCUUUUACUGUAAAAUUAAAGUAAAACCAAUCAAAUAAGACAAAAGUUGCUUAAGACUUCAUAAUUAUUCUCAGUUAAAAGCCUUAAAUAUGUUAGGAAUUGCUCACACAUCAACACCCUCAACUUAAAACAAUUGCUUGUCCUCAAGAAACUCAGCCCAACUAAGAGAAUACAUAGCACAUGCAACAACUAAUUUUCCAUUUAUGCUCAGGACAUAGUUACCACCUCCAAGGUCAAUCCAAUUAAAACCAACUGUGUAUACCAUUGAAAAAAAAUAAUGUUACACAAAGGACUCAAGCGAUGGCAUCAAUCUUAGCCACAACAACCAUUCAUAUACCAAUGCUACACUAUCUAAACAAGCAAGUAGCUAGCAAUGGUACCAGUGUGCCCUCAUAAUAAAGAAAUCCCUCUCCUUUCUUGUAAGGAACCAAAAAUAUAAAUGUUGGGGUCAUCAAAAGACUCUCAUUCUCAAAACGAACUUCCAAUCAGUGUAUGUCAACUACCAUAUGCUUUCCCUAAUUUUCAUUACCAAGACCUUCAGAUAGGCCAGCUAGGAUCACUAUAGGACUUCUUUUAGGGUUGUAAUGUAGGCUGGAGCUGGUAUGAUAUUCAAGGAUAUUUAGAGUGACUAUGCAUCCUUGACACUACACUACUCUCUCGAGGUUCACUCAUUAACCUCUUUUUUUUUUCUCUUCCCUUGAUCACCCAUAUUCAAGUAGGGCGUUUUUUUGUAAAUUAGCACCCAAAUUUUAUUCAUUUUAUUUUAUUCUACCUUUCUUCACACUCAUUUAACACAAUGGACCACUAUGAUAGCUACCCUCAACUUAGGCUAUUUACCUAGGUCAAGGUGUAUAGUGUCCAAGAAGAACCAGGGCCAAAUCAGGUUCAUUAUGGUAUAAAUGGGAAGGUGAAAGGUGUUGUAAGAAAGAAAUGAUCCAUUUAGGCUCAAAAUAGGGAUCAAGGGGUAUUAUGCACAUAGGGAAGGCUAUUUAGGCUAAAAGUGGGUUAAUCAGCAAAAUGGCCUAUGAUCCUUUCUUAACCCCUACCCUUCAACCAUAGUACGACUAACCAAGAAAGAUUUGGCUUUAGCAUACAGAGGGAAUUAAGUAUUUGCUCUCACACAUAUGGUACACAAGUAUAUCGCAGGCUAUCACUUAUUUAGUUCAUACAAUUUCUCAGCAAUGAUCGUCAAGCAGCUAGAACUAAUGCCAAAAAAAAAUUCACAAUGGUCACAAGUAAAUGUAAUUCACAGAGUUUUGCAAACAAAGUAUUAGAGAUGUGUUCAACAUCAAUCAAAACAUGUCAACUGCUUUCUGUACUUGUAUUUCUCCUAGUCACCACAAAAUAUGUUACAACAGUAGACUAACUUACACCCUCAACUUAAAAUCAAAGCAAAACUAAACCAAGGGUUAGAGUAUACCUAGAAUGGAUCAAUCUUGGGGUCCAUGGGUUGCCUCCCAUGCAGCUCCUGAUUUAACAUAGCGGAAUGACUCCGGUAUCUCGAUUACUUCAGACUUCAUUGAGAUAGAUAAUGGUGA